CAGAGUACUUCAUGGGACAGACUAACAGAAUUAUAGUUCACGUCUACAGUAUACCAUAUGCAAUUAGGUCAAUCAAAAGUAUAGAGAUCUUUUUUUAGAUCAAAAGUACAGUGAUCUUACCUGUACAGGUCGUGACAAGAAGUUCGUAAUGUUGGCCAAUCUUAACAUUAGCAAGAUCCACAAUGUGAUCUUUCAAGUGAGCAUCCUUGCUAUUGGUGCAGUUUGGAUCUUGAUGAUUGCCAAUUGGUAUGAACUCAUAGUAAGCCAUGUUUGGUAUAAUAGUAUAUGAGACAUCAUAAGGACUGCAUAAUGGUUUCAAAUUUAUCCCAAAACAUGCCUCUGAAGAAACAUAGGCUGGUGAAACUACAGGUAACCUGCCUGUAUAGAAUUCAAGCGCGGGAAUGUACUGUGCCAUGGACCCAGUAAUUUUGGCCUGGACAAACUUAAAUUAUAAAACUAGAAUUCUCCUUUUCUUCCACUACUUUAUAUUUUAUUUAUUAUUGGUCUAUUGUCAUCCAAAUUGUAAUUUGUUUAACAAAGAUAUAUAUAGGCUACCACCAUGUUGUGUCAAUAUAAUGUGUUUUCAUGAAAUUUUAUAGAAAUUUAGGAACAUAUUUGUUGUACAUUUAAUUUAAUUCACACAUUAUUUUAUUUUAAAAGCUUUAAUUGUAACUACUUAAAACCCAUUGGACCAUAAUGAUCCAAACUUGAAACAUUAGGGACUAGAAAUACUAAUUCAAAACUUUUGACUAGCGCCAAUUUGAUGUUAACUAUUAGUUAUGAUGAUUUUUCAUUAGUUGUCCUAAAGCUGUCUAAAAUCACGAAUUUUGGGGAGUAAAUUUAUUUUUUGUGAAAAUAUUGGGGACUAAUUUGGCAUAUAGUCUAAACAUUGGGGACCAAAACUAUAUUUCUCCCAAAUAGAUAAUCCCUUGUGUUAUGAGAUUAUUAGAUCUCCCCUUACCUAAAUUUCCACAUGUUUUACUUUCCAUUAUACGUAUAAAUUUCAUUUGGUGGUCAACUGGGGGAAGGAACUUUCUAAAAUUGCUAAGCAAUUGCAUCAUACAAUUGAUGACCCACGUGGUGGUGGUGAAUUUGAAAUUGGAUUGAUAGGGUUGAUUGUCAAGACACAAUUAGUUGCACUGAAGAGAAAUAUUCAUUUUAAUUUUGAAUAUUGUUGUAUUACUGGUAUUUAUGAGAGUUGGUUUAGUUGGUAAGAUUUGUUCACAUUAUCUAAUGAAAAUUCAAAUAUAAUUCUCGUUAUCAGCAGUCUCUCAUUAGCAAGUAAUCUAUAAGAACCACUAUAAGGCGCUCCAUAUGACAUGGAGGAUUUCGAGGUGCUUCAUAUGACAUAUGGAGAAUUUCCAAAAGAAUUUGUCAUGCAAUUUCCUAGCAUUGUUUGUACCGAUAAAUACGUCAUUAGCCUGCUUUGAAUUGGAAUAAGAUAAUAUUUUUCUCCACCCAAACUUUAUUAUAACCAAAAAGAAAUUAAGACUACAUGCUUUUUUUGGUGUCCUAUUAGGACUGGUUCAGAUCAAACUAGUUGAAAACAAUGGUCGUGUCUAGAUUUGUUGCUUUGCUAAUAACUUAGCGUAGCAAAUACAACGAAUUCAUAUAUGUUUCCAUAAUUAACGUGAACGUACUGAUCUAUAGAAGAAAGUUAUACUGUUUUUAAUGUGAAUGAAUUUAGGUUAAUUAAAGUAGCCACAUGCAAUCAGGCUCAAUUACAAUUUAGCAGAUCAAAUAUUCAAAGCCAUGAAAUGAACUUUGGUUUAUGUCAGUAGCUAGCUAAAAAGACAGUUGUGCCAUCAGAAUUUCUAGCCUUGAUAAGUUCACCCUUCUCAUGCCUAGGGGUGCAAUCAAGUCAAGCGGGCUCGCAAGUAGUCAAAAGCUUGGCUUGAGCUCGAGCUACUCAUUACAUUCAAUGAGUCAAGUUCGAGCUCCAAAAAUAAAUAUUCGAUUGCUCAACGAGCUUAAUAGAGUUUUUAUAUUAUAUUUAUAUUAUAUAUUUUGAGAAAAAAUUUAUAGAUUUAGUUCAAAACUUGAGCUCGAACUCGAGUAGGUCGGGUUUGAUAUUUAAUCGAACUCAAACGAGUCGAGUUCGAUUUUAAUUUUAUUUUAUCCAGUCGAGCUCGAGUCCAAAUUUAUUUACUCGUUCGAGCUCGAGUUGAACUGAUUCUGAUUGAGUUCGAGCUCGAGUAUGGUGCUACUCGAGUCGGACCGGACUCAGCUCGAUAGUACCCUACUCAUGCCAUUGGAUAAAAAUGGCAUUCUCCCAUCGGAGGAGAUAUGUCAUUUGAAAAAGUUAAAUGCAUGACCCCUGAGUUUUUACCCCUUGAAGUUUGCUUGUCUCAACUAAGCAUUUUGACUCCAAAGGAGUAUGCUCAACUCUGUUCUCAUUGUCAUAACGACCAAUUUACCCAUUACUAACUAUUACACCUUGUCCGGAACGAAUUGCCUUAACGGUGAAUUUGCUAUGGCAAAUCUGGAAGUCAAGGAAUGGGAGGCAGUUUGAUGCUAAAGGAAGGGAUCUGAUGGUAGUAGUUCAGAAAGCUAUAUUGGAAUGGAGGGAGUAUCAGGAAGCUCAAGAAGCAGAAGGGGAAUCAAUUUGAUUUAAGAGUGGUGGAAAAGAGGAGCUGAGUGGCUGGAAGGAACCAAGUGAGGCGUGGAUCAAGAUUAACUCAGAUGCAGCUGUUAACCAAAAAGAGGAUAGAGCAGGAUGGGGAUUGAUUGCAAGGACCUGGCAAAGGAAAAAUGUGAGAGCUUGGGCAGUUCCAAAUACAAGCUGCUCAAAUCCCAAGCUAGAAGAAGCAUUGGCUUUAAGAGCUGUCAUGUUAGUGGCAAAAAGUCAGGGUUAGAGAAGAGUGGAGUUUGAGUCAGAUUGUAAGCAAGUAAUUGAUGGAAUAAAUACAGAGGAAGAUGAUGCAGCCAUUGCAACAGUGCUCUCAGACGUUAAAAAACUAAAGUCCAGUUUUUAUGAAUGUUGUUUUUCCUUCACUAGAAGGAUUAACAACUCUGUUAGUCAUUGUUUGGCAAAUUUUGCUAUUAAAUUGAAGGAAACCGCUAAAUGGAAGUCUGACUUCCCAGCGUGGUUGCUUGAGUUGGUUCAAGCAGAUUGUAAGGGCAGUUGCCCCAAAGGAUGUAAUCUGGAUUUGUCUAUGAAUGAAACGUUGCCGUUUUGAUUAAAAAAAAAAAAACUAUUAUACCCUGUCCGGGUGUAAUAGCAACCAAUCUGGGUAUAGUUACAUCCAUGACAUCUAAAUCCAAUAAUUUUCUAAACUCUUCUGGUGGUAUGUCAACGAAUUCAAUUAGGGUGCGUUUGAUAAAACUAAAUAUUAAAAAUUGAAAUCCGAAAUCUGAAUUCAUUAAAUAAAUAAAUUGUUAAGCAUUAAACAUGAUAUAUUUGGGUGUAUUUCACAUUAUGUGAUAAGUGUAUACACUGUCAGUGUAUAUAAAUUUACCCUAUUUUUUAGAGCAUGUUUUGAUUAGAAAAUUUAAUGCCAUUUAGAUGUUAUAUUUUUUAUUAUCAAAAGCAUCAGAAUAUAUUAUGAUCUGAACUUAUUAAAUUUAAGUACUGAAUUGGGUUAUUAAAGAACGCCUUAAUUUUACUAAAUAAUCCAUGCACUUGUUACCCUCGUGCCAUUCAUACUUCAAUUCCCACUUCCAUUGUUUAGCUAGCCAACUUUUUAUAUGUUAAAUUAGAGUGUAGUGUGGGAUUUCCCGAGGUGCCUUGUCAUUUAGCUCCAAACUCAUGUUUGAGUCUGAUUCUUUUUUUUUUUUUUUUUGUCAAAAGUCAUUCAUUUAUAUCAUCAAUAUCUUUGAUACAGACAGAGACAUGUACAUACUAGCUGGCAGCUGCCAUAUAAUCACUUUGUGCAGCCAUAGAGGUCCACACAGGGAAGCUGUUCUUCCACCUAGUUUCAUUAAUAAGGUUAGUGGCAAAUUUUGCCAAACCAUGACUACCUGUGUUGAUUUCUCACUUAACAAAGGAGAAAGUACAAUGCCAAAAAGACUUACUUAAUGUCCUGAUAUCUCUCAGGAAAAUGUUGAUGUCAGAUAGGUCUUCACUCAUGUGAUUUAAUUUGUCAACCAGAACUUUGCAGUCAGAAAGUAUCAAUAUGGAUGUCCAAUUUUCCUUCGAUGCUUUGAGCAAAGCAGUUCUGAUAGCAUGAGCUUCCAAGGUUGCAGCCUCUCCUCUUAAUGAGGUUGGGAUUGACCAUGUAGAGAUUAGACUGCCCUUAUUGUCUCUUAUUGUCUCAAAGUUUUUAAACUAUACAUUUUAAAAUAUCCAAAAAUUUAUAUUUUUUAAAAAUUUUUUCUACAACUUCUACAGUAAACUGCAGUAAAAUUUUAAGCAAACACCCAAAAAAUUCACUUGCCAAAUGAGGCCCAUGUUAUUUGUAGUUCCCAAGCUAACACAGAACCCAUUCAUCCAGUAACCCCCUUCAUCUCUAAUUAGUCCUCCUGUUCCAGCUUGUCCUAAACCGUUGCUUGAUGCUACAUCCACAUUUAGUUUCACCCAUCCAAUUUGGGGCUUACUGCAAUUGAUAAACUUCAACUCCUUCUGUAAUGCUCUAUGAUACUUGGUGAGAGAUUCCUCACUGAAUUCGACUUGGGCUAUCACUGUUUGAGCAUUGAUUUUAUCUUAGUUGUAGUAAUAUAGGUUCCCAGCAUACCAGGCAAAAUAAAAAAAAAUUCUUGAAUCAAACACCUACCAAUCUGCAUCUUCUAUCGCUACAAUGUCAUGUUGUUUUAAGUUCCAGUCAAGCCAUUCUUCCAAAUUUGGGUUCCUAAAUUUCCCCCAUCUACUUGGUAGAUUAGUUUCUUCUAUAUUGUUGAUAUCCAGUCAUAGCCUAGCAAUUCAUAUUUAUAAUUAUUGAAUUAAAUUUGACCAGCUUUUUUUUUUUUUAAUAAAACAUCAUCAUAACAUUAAAUCUAUACUAAUGGCAAUAAUUAUACCAAUCAUACAUAGAUACAAACAGAUCUGAAAAACAAAUACUUGAUAUUACAAAUCUAGAAAAUCAAUAGAAUAUUACACUGUAAAACUCCAAAAAUAUCAAAAGAUAAAACCCUUAUUGCCCCAAUAUCAUCUAUGCAUGCUUCCAACUGUGUUGCUUCUUUUCUCCCAGACCUACUAAUGAGCUGAUUUAAAUUCAGAUGUUAAAGUGAGAUCUAAUGAGGUAGAUCUAAAAGAUUUUAGGUCCGACAACCAAAUAGGAGAAAACUUAGAUAUAAUACAACAAAUAGAAAAAACUACAAAAGCUAUCAUUAGAAAUCUCUAGGAGAGGAGAAAACAUCACGAAAAAUCCCUAAGAGAGAAUAAACUCUCACUAGGAAACUCCAUGAGAGGAGAAUAACAUCUUUUGCUACUAGAAUAGCUUUACCCUCAAUUUGAUGAGUACAAGAGUUUCAGAUACUAUCCUCAUCCACCAAGCUUCACAAACAAACUGAAAAAUAGUAGAACACAAAUGCGUCCAUAAAAUGGUGAAUUGCUUUUAAAUUUCGACAUUGCAAGACAAGGUACAUGAAUGCCUAGGAUGAAAUAUGCAAAAAGAUUCUUGAAGACCACGGGCUACGAGUCUUGAUUAGGUACUUCUCUGCUGUAAAAUUUUCCCACUACUCUGGAGUCCAGAAUUUCAAUGGCUUUCUCAGACUUUAUGUUCUUAGGUGUCUUGUACUGGUUUAAAGAAGUUCCUCGAGAAACAUAAAAGUCCAUGAGCACGUUGAAUGUUCCUUGUUUCACAACUCUAAUUUCCAAAGGACCGAUGGUACUGAUGCUCUGAUUCCUCAGCAUCUUAUAUUCCAGGUCCAGAGAUUGUUCCACUAAACUACAGCAUUUUUCCAUUUUAACCUGAUCAAGUUCAGGUAUAUCAUCGUUUGAUCUGAGUUGAAGCUCCCAAAAGAGUACAUAGUGACCAGGAAUAGAGGAUGUAUCAGCAUAGCUACUGUAAUCCAAAAGAAAGAACCCAAGUGGUUCAAGGAUAUGCAUUGCAAUUGUAACUGCAUUCUGGAGGUCUUGUUCAGUUGUUUUAUCUGUGUCAAUGCUCAAAACCACAUUUCUCCUUUGUACAAAUUUGAAUUGGGGAGUGAUAUUGUGAAAACCUGUCACCAGGAGAAUAUCCCCCAUUCUGUACCUGUAUAAACCUGAAAGUACACGCUUCUAUCAAUAUUCUAGAUAUCAGAGCGAUUGAGCUUCUAAACUCCCUAAUCAUCAUUGUUUAUGUUUAUCAGGAUAAUAGAUGCACGAAAAACCAGAAUGCAGUACCUAUAUCUGACAAAUUUGAACAUCAAAACAACUCUUGCACAUUACAUAUUGUUAAGCAGAAACAAAUGGAGCUACUUCCAUUUUAGAACAUGAUACAUAGAUUCAGAUGGAAAUCAGAAGACACCUUCUGGUAAUAAGAUGCAAACAGUUCAAGAGGCAAUUUUGUGUCUGCAGAGUACUUCAUGGGACAGACUAACAGAAUUAUAGUUCACGUCUACAGUAUACCAUAUGCAAUUAGGUCAAUCAAAAGUAUAGAGAUCUUUUUUCAGGUCAAAAGUAUAUAGAUCUUACCUGUACAGGUCGUGACAAGAAGUUCGUAAUGUUGGCCAAUCUUAACAUUAGCAAGAUCCACAAUGUGAUCUUUCAAGUGAGCAUCCUUGCUAUUGGUGCAGUUUGGAUCUUGAUGAUUACCAAUUGGUAUGAACUCAUAGUAAGCCAUGUUUGGUAUAAAAGUAUAUGAGACAUCAUAAGGAUUGCAUAAUGGUUUAAAAUUUAUCCCAAAACAUGCCUCUGAAGAAACAUAGGCUGGCGAAACUACAGGUAACCUUCCUGUAUAGAAUUCAAGCGCGGGAAUGUACUGUGCCAUGGACCCAGUAAUUAUGGCCUGGACAUACUUGGUCCUUGGCCAGAUCUUCUUAAUUAUUCCUUCCCAAGAUUUUUCUUGGCAUACAAGAUCAAUUGAAUCAGCCAAAUCUGGCAUUUGUUUGCUCAAAAUCAAGGAGACAGUCCUUUUGCAUUUAGGGUCAGUGAUCCAAUCACUCAUUUGUCCAGUUCUUAUGUUGGAAGACAUUUCUUGCCAAUGUUCCUCAAAAAAUUUGAUUAUCCUUUGCAAACCCGAGGCGAAAAUUGUACCAAUGCUUACUAUCGCAUCUCGCUGCACAAGGCCACAAAGUAAUUGACUAUACAAGCUCUGAUUGGUAUCUUCACACAAUAUAACCUCAGGAUAUCUGUCUUUUCUGUUCUUUAUCUCGCUUGCUGUAGCUGUUCUUAAAACUAAGCCACCAGGAGUGUGGAUAUCCGGGUUGAUAAGGUCAAAGAUCAGCGCUUUCCCAUCGUUUAAGCCGUGGAGGUACCUUAGUUCAAAGCUAUACAUUUAGCACCUUUUAUUUGACUCUCAUAAUUCUGCAGAUGAAAUAACAACUGUAAAUUCAUUGCAUUAGUGAAUUUACCUAUUCUGAACAGUAGCAAGGAGACAAAAGAAGAAGGCCCUGCGCUCUCCCUCUUCAGCAGUUUUUGGAAUCCACUUGUGCUUCCCACCUGAAGUGCCCGAGCUGCCAACGAAGUUGAUGUUUUCAGUUAAGAAAAACAAGAAAUUCAUGAAAACGAAUAGAAAUAACUCGCUCUUCAACACUAUUGACUUUACUCUCACUCCAUUUAGGAAUUUCCUUUAAUCUAUUUACAAUAAAUCAAAGAAACUGAUUUACCUGAUCAGUAGCUCAGUAAUGGAUUCAUUAGUUAAAAUCCGAGAUGGCUCUCCAUCCAGUGCAAUUCGAUCAAUGUAAAUCUUGAUAUCUUCAUAAUCUACCACAGGAACUUUAUUCUUGAAUAGUCCCUUAUCAGAGUGACCAUUAAGAAAACUUUUCAAGUAAUCGGUGCUUGCAUUUUUAGUUAAAAUCUCCUCCAGGACCUGUUCUUGUAUAUGACCAGCAUUGCUGGUUAUAUCCUCCAAAAUCCUCGAACCAGCUUCAGUAUCUCUUGGAUCAAAGGUUGGCAGCAUUCUAGUAAAGAAAAGAAAUGCAGAAUCUCAGUUUGGGGAUGGGAAAUAUACAGGGAAAUUAAUUAAUGAAUAAGCACGCUCAACUACAUUGUCUUGAGAAAAAGAUUUACGCCAUGGUUAAGCCGUUUUAAACCCAUUGGCCAGGUGAUCCGUCCUAUCAUCCUCAUUCCCGUCUCCUAGAUGCCUAGUUAGUUUGCUGUAUGUUACCAUUGUAAAUUUGUAAUGGUGUAAACAUAAAAACUCAUUGAGUUGCUUGGUCUCCUUAUGCUAUGUUCAUCACUUGCACAAUCCAAAAUUGCCAAAUGAUCGAGCUCUUAUGGAUCUAUAUCCAUGCUUGAGUUCAGUCAAAAUCGAACUCAAAUCGAGUUCGAGUAAUUUGAGUUGCUAUACGAAUUGAGUAGGUUCUCCAUGUAAUAUUCCUUAUUUAGCUUACAGAGUUUUUAUGUAUAUUUUGUCGAGCAAGCUCAAUCUUGAGCUUCAGCUCGUCCUCAUAAUUUUCUUGAGUCAAACUCAAGCAUGAACACAUGAUAUUCAUCGAACUUGAGCUCGGACUCAACCACAAAUUAAUUUUCUUUGAUCUUGAGUUCUAGUACCUCAAUAUUUGGGCUUGAUUUGGCUAAAACACCCCUAGAGAGGUGAUCCAAAAUUUAAAUGAAUGGCACGUUUCUAGUCAUAAAAGGAAGCUUAUUCGUAUGCAUCUUCCGAAAUGCGGCAAAAAUAUACUAGAUACCAGUUGUACUCUGCAAUAUAAUUAAUAGGAUAAAUUAUACUUUACCCCUUGUGGUUUACUGCUUUUCCACAUAACUCUCCCAUAGUUUACAAAGCUGUGUAUAAAUAUUUAUGGUUUGAACUAAAGUUUCAAAGUGACAAAAAUGGUACUUUGCAAAGGAACCAACUAAUUGGGCUGAAAAAUGAACUAACAUACUCGAUACUCGAAUCGAGUUCACUUGGUAAGAGCUCGUUCGAUCGUGGUUAACCAACUAGUCAAGCCAAAUUUGAACAAUGUUUUAUGUUUGAUAACAUUCAAACUUGAUAAAAAGUUCGUUCAAACUCAGUUCAGCAAAUAAACAAGCCAACCUUGAACAAAAUUUCAAACUUAUUAAAAUAAUCAAACAAAGUUGAACAUUAGGGUGUUCGACUUGAUUACAUUUGUUUACAACCCUACUAACUAAAAUGACGAGAUUACCCUCAUUUAGAAACUAAAAUAACUAAAAUGGCCAAAAUAUGUAAACGUAGUGUGCAUGACAUUUUAGUCCCUUAUGGUUUAGUGUUUUUUCACAUAACUCUCUUUUGUUUUCAAAAUUUAUACAUAACACCCAUCUGGUUAACAAGUAGUUUUCAUAUUAACAUGGGGGUAUUUUUUAUUUUCUAGUAGAUUCUGUUACUAAAUGUAAAUUUGGUUAUUUUGACAUUUUAGUCCAAACUAUGAUGCAGUUAUGUCCGCCGUCCGAUUUUUGAAAUGAUAAGAGGUUUAUAUGGAAAAGCGCUAAACUACUGAAGGUUAAAGUGUAAUUUAGCAUAAUUAAUACAAAAGUGUUGAUUUUCGGGGUUUUCUAGUAAACAGAGUUUGUCAGAUAAAAAGGUGGGUAGUGUUUUGUUUACCAAUUUACAGAGCUUCGUCUUUCAACCAAAGGCAACUAAAAUCACCAAAUGCAAAGCAACUUGACUAAAAGAACUACAUAUUAAGACAGGAUUAACAACUUGACCGUAUGAAUCUCGUUGACUUUCGACCUACAAAUGCAAGCAUUCGAAAAAAAAAUGUAAAUAUAUGGCCAAGUAAGCAUACAGCAUAGGAAAAAGGAAAAACAUAUGAAUCACAUCAGAAACAACAAGAGGAAAUUAAUCAAGGAAGCCAAUAUACCUCACUUAAAAGGAACAUGAUUGCAUAUAAUCCUACGGCGCAAAUAUACCUCACCUGGAAAAAUCUUGAUAGCACUAUGAUUCCAGCGCAAAAAUCUUGCAGAAAAUGAAGCCUUUGGGACCUAAUUUUUGUCGACUGCUAUUCAGUGAUGCAGGGACCAGGGAGCAGUGAAGCUGCCAAGGUUGACCAAUUGCCAGUGAUACAGGAAGUUGUUUCCGUCGGUCCUUAUUCAUCAAAAGUUGACCGGAAAUUGUAUAUACGUACAGGGAGAGUUGCAGUUUUACUGUUUUAGUCCCCAAUGUUUGGCCCAUGUAUCAAAUUAGUCUUCAAUGUUUCGAUUAAAACAAAUCUCGUCCCAAAGUUUGUGAUUUUAGACAGAUUUCUGACAACUAGCGAAAAAAGACCAAUGACAAAUGGUCAACAUCAAAUUGCUGCUAGUCAACAAUUUUUGCUUAGCACUUCUAGUCCUCAAUGUUUUGAUUUUGAAUUAUUAUCUUCUCUUAAAUUUUAAACAGUGAUAUUAAGGAUUUAGUAUUAAAUCAGAUGUAAAUUAAAUGGGUCAUAGGAAUUAUAAUUAAAUUUUUUUUUCUUUUUUAUUAUUAUUUUAUUUAGUCAUCCCAAUAGUAUCCCAUUUGUUUCUUUUCUUUUGCAUAGUUAGUCUAAAAUUUGUUAAAAUAUAUCUGUCUUAUUGUUUCUCACUAUUAAUAAUUAAUUGAUUAUGAGUUUUAUUAUUUUUAUUUUUAGUGAUAAAAACUUAAUUAAGUUUCCCUUUGAAUAUAUACUUUCUAUAAGUAAUUAAUAUUUUUUACAUUUUAAUAGGUUAACAAUUGAGUUUGAAAUGAAAUUGGUAUUUUAUACACAUCAUGUGGACCAUUAAAUGAUUAUUAAGUUACAUAGCGUGAAACCCACAAUUUUAUUACCUUAUUAUUUUAUUUUAUUUUAUUUUCUCAACUAAUUAAAGAGAUAAAGUUACUAAGUGAAAAGGGGAAAAUAAAAUAAAAUAACUGUAGGACGGGAUAAGGGAUUCUAAUAUAAGUAGUGCUAGGUUUGGGAUUUUAUUAAAACCCUAGACAGAAAAAUAACCUCAACCUUACCUUUCUUUCAUCUGCCUCCCUAAAGUAAGAGCCGUGGGAGAGGAGAGAAGUAGAAACAGGCAACACCGUAAAUCGAUUCGACGACUAGGCACCUAAACCUGUAAGUCUUGAGUUCACGCAAGAAAACCUCUCUUUUAAAUUUUAGUAGUUGUAUUAAUUGUUUUAGUAAUUUUAUGGACAUGUAUUGUUGCUAUAUAAGUGCAGAUAUGUAUGUUUUGAUAAAAUUCGUAUCUGGGUUAAUAAAAUAGGGGGGUUAAUUUUAAUCCUGAGAUUAUAGGGUGAUUGAAUCUGUUUAAAAAAUAAAAAAAAAAGGGAAAAGAAGAGCAGCGGCAGCAGUUUUGGACACACAAAAAGGGAAGAGUGGGGGGCCGCUAUCUCUGGCGGCAGAGAAAGAAUUUGCAAAGGUUGGCCAAAAAGCCGAAGCAAAAAAAAAAAAAUUUUGAAGUGGCGACCAAGCUGGCGACCAUGGUCAGGCAACUGGUUGGUCUUUUGGCCAACCAUGGGUUUAACCCGAGGAUGGAGAAAAUUUGACAAAUUAUACAGGGACCAAAAUAUAAUAUAAAAUGUAGUAAGUAUCUAAUAAAUAAAUUUUAAAACUAUAAAUUAUAGUUUAUCGUGGGUGUUAAAAAUUCAGGACCCAAUUUAAAAUAAUUGUUAGAAUUGAAAGGUUAGUCAUGUAAAAUUGUACUCAGUUAAUUACGUAUAAGAUACUUAAAUGCAAAUCUAAAAACAUUGUAAUUUAGCCGUAUGAAGCCAAAUUAGACAAGGUAAGAUAAGUUCUAAAUUGUUAAAUGAAAUGUUAAAAUAAUAAUGAUAAUAAUAAUGCUAAUAAUAUAGCACUAAUGAUAAUAAUCAUAGCGGUAAAUAAUAAUGUUGAUGAUAACACUAAUAAUAAUGAUAAUAAUAAUAAGGAAUAAUUAUAAAUUAUAAAUUGAUAUAGUAAGACGGUAGUCAGAACAAUAAGCAUGCUUAUGAAUAAUUAUUCUCUUUUAAAUUAGGAAACCUUACUAAAAGGAGAGCCGUUUCGAUUAAGAAACUUUCUAAAAAUAGAAACUUUUCAAAUUAGGAAACUUUCCAAAAAUAGAAAUCAUCAAUUUAAGGAAGAGGCUAUUAGGGUUCAUAUAAUGGGUUAGACACGAAUCCUCGACUUACUCAGAGUUUUAUAUAUUUAUGCAUCUAUAGGAAGUAACAACUAAUUAGGAAACUCAUGCAUUUGAUAGGUACGGUACAAGGACCUAAGGUAGUUCCACUCGAGCAGCUAAACAAAGGUUGGUGGUAUUUACCCUUAUGAGAUUUCAAAUGUGCAAAUGAAAUUCUUGUUUUCAAUCCUAUUUGGUUGUGUUGAUUCCAAAUGUGUUCGAUUAAAUGCUUUUCUCAUAUAUUUAUGAAAGUUAUAUUCUACUAUACAAAAAUGGACCAUGUGACUUAUUUGAAAUGUUUUGAUAUGUUCUUAUAUACAAAAUGAGUUGAAUCCUUUAUGAAAGCAAAGAUUUAUAUAUAAGACAUAUGAAAUGAAUUUUGACAAGUAAACCUCAAAGCAGUCAUGGAAUAUACGGUAGGGGCUAUAGUGCUAUCUAAUCGCCAUGGUAGCCUGGUAUAGAGUCCGGCCGAUUGACAAGGUCAUGGUAGCCUGGUAAAAAGUCCAGCCGAUUGGCAGGGUCAUGGUAGUCUGGUAUAAAAUCCGGCCGAUUGACCCAUGAAUGAAAUGAGAUCAAUCGAUAGUCGUGGAAUCUAUUGGUCGCCCACCUAGAAGGGGUUUAAUCUCUAGGUUGAGUAUUCAGUAGCCAGUCAUUACAUGUACUUGUUAUGAGCUAAUAUGGAAAGAUUUAUGAGUUAAUAUGAAAUGAUUUACAAGUUGAUAUGGAACGAUUUAUGAACUGAUCUGAGAUGAGACUCAUGAACUGAUAUGAAUUGAUUUGUGACUUGACACGAAAUGAUUUAUGACAUUACGGUUUCUCAUGUUUAAUUAUCAAUAAGAUGCUUUUAAAUUGCUUGUCAUUCUUUACUACUGAUGAUUUUAUAAACAACGGCGCCGCCUCCCUAAUUUUGGAAGUGAACAAGGUGCAAUGAUUCGAUUAUGUCUAUAUAUGUAUCUAUAAAAUCAAGAGUGCAUGGUCCAACAGAGGGGUAGAUAUUACCUACUGAGCGAUGUGUCGCUCAACCCACUUCUUACCAUUUUUGCAGGUUCUGAGGAGUAUGAAUUGGUUUAUAUAGAAGACCCUGAGGAUGACUUUUAUUAGCUUUGAAUGAAUAGAAGUUGGCAGGCUAGCUACUUGUAGUUGUUAGUCUUAUUUACUUUUGUUUCCGCUGUUUCAAUCAGAAAAUAAAUGUACGAACGUCUUGAAUAUUCAUAGACUUUCUUUUAUAUGUAAUUCGUACCGCACUUUAUUUAGUACUGUUAAAGUUAAUCUAGUUAAUGUAGUCUUGUAUUUUUGAGUGGGACUUGGGAGUACGGCGGAUGUCAUGUGACGGGUACGUGCGGGCUCGGGGCAUGAUAUUUUUAGUGGCAUCAGAGCCUAGGUUAUAUGGUCCGAAAGUAUGUGAAAUGGUUUUUGAGGCAUUAGGGGUUUUGAGAAUUGAAAUGAGAUCAAAAGAAAAAGAGGAUUAAAGGAAAUAAGAGAUUCAUCUGAUUUUUAAUGUUAUCAAAGUUAAGGUUAUGCGAUCUAGAUGUAUGUUGAAUGAUAUUUGUAAUAUUAGUGAUUUGAGGAAAUGGGAAUGACGUUGGAUAGAAGAUUGUGAAAUAAGAGAUUUUCAUAAUGUUUAGUGAUAAUAGAGCCUGAGGUACGAUUUACUUUUUAGAGGAAGUAUACCCUAGGAAAUGAACAAUUGUGACUAAAUAAAUAAGCUUGAAAUUUUGCAUGUGUGAAUAGUUGAAAUGGUACGAUUGGUGUUUAUGAUGUCCUUUUAUUGGAUGUAAUUUUGGUAGUACAUUCUAAGUUUAAGAUGUCGGACGUGUAGGAAAUAUUAUGUGUAUUUGAAGUAUUGUCUAUUGGAAAUUGAAAGGAGAUGGAAAAAUAGAUCAAAAGAAAUAAGAGAUUGCUGUGACUUUUUAUUAGUAUCAAAGAUCAAGUUGUGAUAGUUGGAAGUAGGUGUAAAGAUACUAAAGAUAUUUGUGAUUUUGAGAAUUGGAAUGAAAUGGAUAAGGGAUUAAAAGAAAAUAAGUGACUCCAUAACAUUUAAUGGUAUUAGAAUUUUAGGUUACGAAUUUAUUGGAAUGAUCUCAGGUAUUAAGAUGUUGAUUACUUUCGGUAAGUAAGUGGUGACUAUAUGCAUAUGUUCAGUUGAAAAGGUAAUCAAGCCUACCUGCCAGAUAUGAUUGACACUUACAAAAAAAAAAAUAAUAAAAUGGUAUUUAGGGUGUUCGUUUUGUAAGUUUUGAUCUCUAUAGUACAUUUCAAGUUUAUCAUUUAGGAUGUCAGAUUCAUGGAUAAUCUUAUGUCUAGUUGAAGUCUAGCAUAGAAAAAACUGAAAAAAUGGAGGAAAUUAGAAUGCACAACGAAAGUAUGAAUGAUCAACAAUAUGAUGUCAUCGAACGCAUGCAAUACAUGUUGGAUCUUGGAAUUUUGCUGACUUAUUUUGAGGAUUACGAUAAUUAGAUCUAAUGCUCAAGAUAUUUAUUACACUAGCUGAUAUGAUUAGUUCGGGUAUUAUUACAUCAUGAUCAAGCAAUACAUAUUUUGUACAUUUCUUACAAUAUAUAAUUUUACAUACUUUUUCCCUAAAAAUGAAUAAACGGAGAAACUAAAAUUUUAUUUGCACAAAUAGUUUUUAAUCAAAUUUUUUUAUAAAUAUGUACCUUUACCUUACAGUUGCUUGGUAAAUAUAGUUUUUAAAUAUAUAUGCAUAUAUCUAUAUAUAAAAAAGAAUAGAAUAAAUACAUUAAAUAAUUAUAUCCUAUAAUCCUGUGCAAUUUUUUUUUAUACUUAUCCAAUCUCAAAAAGAGCUUUAGAUAAAAGUAUUUUACAAAAAUUUUUUUUUCCUUUCUUAUUGUAUAGAAAAAUCUAACAAUAAUUCUUGAUAAAUUUUCUUUGUACUCUAAAUUCUAAUGCUGUAAAAAGUAUAGUUAGUUGACUUAUGUAUUUCAAAACACUUCCAGUUUCUAAACCUGUAUGAGUUCGAAAUUCUACAUAUAGAUAAAUAUUUUACCAAAGUUAUGAUAAAGUUAUUAUAUUUCAAUAUGAGGAUUUGGUGAUAAUUUUUGUAUAAAAUUUUCUAUAUUUUUGUAUGAUCAAGAAGUUUGUGAAAUGAUUUUUGAGGUAUUAAUGUUUUCGGAAAUUGAAUUGAGCUAGAAAAAAAAUAAUAACCAAAGAAAAUAAGAUUCCCUUGGCAUUUAAUGGUAUAAUAACUCAGGUUAUAGGAUCUGGAAAUAUGAGUGAUGCUAUUUGAGGUAUUAUUGACCUUUUUGAAAUUUAAAAUAAGAUAGAUAUGAGAUUUAAGGGAAAUAAGGGAUUUCCAUUACCAAUUACAAACACAGUGGGCAUGAAUCCAUAUAUCGAGAUAAGGAUUACUUUUGCAAUAGGGGAUAAGUAAGUGGUGAUAAAAUGUGUGACAAGAGAAGAAAUGGUAUUCUUAUUGUCUAUGGCAUCCUUUCUAUAGAGCAUUAUAAGCCGAUAUUUAGAAUGCUAGAUUUGUGAGAGAUGUUAUGUUCAUCUGAGUUAUAUAAAUAUGAAGACGGGAGAUAUUGAGAAAUAUAAGAGUGCGCAGCAGAAACUUGAUAGAAUUAAUUAAGAAAAUUCAAUUUAGAUAUUGUAGAUAUAAUUCCCAAAAUGUAUUGCAAGAACAUUGGAAAAUUUGUUAACUUAUCUUGAUGUUUAUGUCUUUAGGUUUCGAGAACAAAACCUUUAAAAGAGGGAGAGAAUGUGGUAUCUAGUCUAAAAGUGAAUUGUGAAAGUAGUAUCGAAUUAGGACCCUAAAUUCACGUCUAGAAUUUGGUCGACCUACCAAGAGAUAAUAGGGAUUGAUACUUAAGAUUAAAUACCGACUUCUACCCCCAAAUGAAUGGAUCGUCAAAAAGGAUUGUAUAGACAUUGGAGGACAUGCUGAGAGCUUGUGUUCUAGACUUCUCGGAUAGUUGGAAUAGGUUGGUGAAAUUAAUGGAGUUUUUGUAUAAUAAUAACUAUCAUAGCGGGAUAGAUAUGACACUAUUUGAAGUGCUGUAUGGGCGAAAGUGUAGAUAUCUCUUAUAUUGGGAUGAAGUAUGUGAGAAGCUGAUCACUGGUCCCGAUUUGGUGGAAAGAAUUUUGGAGAAAAUUAAGAUUAUUCGGGGAAGAUUAAAGGUAGCUCAGAACUGAAACAAGAGUUGGAUGGACUUAAAAAGGAGACUUUUAGAGUUUCAACCGGGAGAAAAGGGUAUAUUUGAAAGUAUCCCCUACCAAGGGAGUGAUGAGAAUUGGAAGAAGUGACAAGUAAAAUCUGAGGUAUGUAGGGCCUUACGAAAUACUAGAUAGAGUUAGAUCUCUAGCGUAUCGAUUGGCUCUCCCGCCGGCUUUGGCAAGGAUACAUAAUAUUUUUCAUGUUUUCCAACUGAGAAAGUGUGUACCUGAUUCAAGCCAUAUUUUAGAGGAUCAACCCAUCGAGGUAAGGGAGAACUUGUCAGCGGAGGAAGUUCCCUUGAGAAUCGUGGAUCGAAAGGAUCAAAUUCUAAGGAGAAGAACCAUACCUUACGUGAAGGUGCAAUGGACGAACCAUACACCGCGAAAGGCAACGUGAGAGUUAGAAAAAGACAUGCGGUAUAGAUAUCCCUAUCUUUUUUAUCAAGAUACAUAAGUUUCGAGGACGAAACUUUUUGUAAGGGGGGUAGAAUGUGAAACCCACAAUUUUUGGCAUCUGUUUUUAUUAUUUAUUUUCCCAAUUAAUUAAAAAGGAUAAAAUUACUAGGAAAGAUAACAUAAAAUAAAAUAAAAUAACUAUAGGAUGGGAUAAGGGUUUCUAAUAAACUAAAACUCUUAUCCAAACCACAUACUAGUGGGUAGUGCUAGGUUUAGGAUUUUAUUGAAACCCUAGCAAGAAAAAUAACACCCUCCUUGUCUUUCUUUCGCCUACCUCCCUAGAGCAAGAGCCGUCAGAGAAUAGAGAAGGAGAAGCAAGCGACACUGUCAACCGAUCAGACGACUAGGCACCUAAACCUGUAAGUCCCGAAGUCACGCAAAAAUUCUCUUUUUAAGUUUUAGUAGUUGAAUUAAUUGUCCUAGGAAUCUUACGAAUAUGGAUUGUUACUGUAUAUAUGUAGAUAUAUAUUUUUUAGGAAGAUUCAUAUGUGGAUCUGUAGGAAUGGAGUGUUAGAUUUGAAUCUGUGAGUAAAUAGGUUGCCCAAAUCUGGUGGAGGAAAAAACAAAAACAAAAAAAAGGGGAAAAGAAGAGCAGCGGCUGUUGCCGCUGCUCUGUUUUGGACACACAAAAAGGGAAGAGUGGGGGGGCCGCCAUCUCUGGCAGCAAAGAAAGAAUUUGCAAAGGUUGGCCGAGACCAAAGCAAAAAAAAAAAAAAAAAAUUGAAGAGGAUGUCGCCAGCACUUGCUGGCGACAAUGAAUAAAAGCGAUGGUUGGCCUUUUGGCCAACCAAUGGAAGCAAAGGGUCGCCAGCAAGUCUGGCGACCAUGGUCGGGCAACUGGUUGGCCUUUUGGCCAACUAUGGGUUUAACACGAGGACGGAGAAAAUUUGGCAAAUUAUACAGGGACCAAAAUAUAAUAUAAAAUGUAGUAAGUAUCUAAUAAAUAAAUUUUAAAACUAUAAAUUAUAGUUUAUCGUGGGUAUUAAAAAUUCAGGACCCAAUUUAAAAUAUGUGAGAACCCGUAAAACCCUAAUUAUUUUCCUAGGGUUUAUUACCCCUUAAUUGCAUAAUUUUUGCAUUUUCUGGUUUAGAAAUAUUUUUCUGGUAGAUUUUAUGAGCAAUUAUAGUUUUAAGAUGAUUUUUCUAGCAUUGUGAAAUUUUAGAAAAUUAAGAAUAUAUAAUGGACGUGGGACCCACUAGUGCGAAAAGUUCGGAAAAAUUCGGCCAAUUAGGUUAAAUUCCGGAUACUGUGUAAAAUUUAUCGGGUGUUAAGAGAUAAGUAGAGUGUGUGAAAUGAUUGAUGUGAGAGAGAAAAGAAAUGAUAGGAUUGCAUUAAUUGAGGUGCCAAGUGUCAUUGUUUCAUUGGGUUUGACUUAAGACUUACUAUUCAUGUUUUUGACUUUUGACCCAUUAGUUAAAUAUCUCAAAAAAAAAAAAUUGACUAAAACUCACCAUUUUUCACUCCUUGUUGGCCGACUCUUGAGAGGUCAAGAAGGAAGAAGAUUGCUCAAAAUUUCAAGCUCCCAACUAGCUCAAUCUUCCAAACCACUUGCAUAAAUUAGUUUUUACUCCAUAAACUUCUUCCAUUAGGUGCUAGUGGUGAGUUUGGUGAAGUUUGUUUGAAGGUUUAAGGUGUCCAAUAUCCUCCUCUCUCUUGUUUCUUGGUAAGUGAAGCUUGAACACCCUACUACAUCUAAUGAUGCUUAUGUUUGGCUUAGAAGUGGCUAAAGUGAUGAAUUAUAUGAGUUAUUUCUUGGUUUGGCUUGAUUUGGUGAAGUUUUUAAUUUUAUGAUGAAUUUUCUGGUUUAAUGUGAAAUGGAUGUUGUAGCCAUCUUUGAUGAUUGGCAAUGGACUAUAAUGACUCUUGUAGGUGUGAAUUGUUGCUAAAUGCAACCAAUUUUGGAUUUGGUGUGAAAAUUGAAAAGUUAGGGUUCAUAAACCCCUAAUUCUGUCCGGUUUUGGAUCAUAGGGUUAGAGGCCGAAUUUGACUUUGCUCAAAACAUGAAAGUUGUAGGUAUUGAUGUGUUUGAGGUGCCUGUAAAAUUUCAGGUCAUUUGGAUUAAUGUAGAAUGAGAUAUGACGGAAUUACUGUAGCUGUUCUGCUUUGGACAGAAUGCGAAAACUGCGAUAGUAAUUGGCCAUUUUGACUGGAAUUGGUUUGGAUUUUGGAGUUGGUGUCUUCUGGUGAAAUGUAGCUGAAUGUCUUAGCUAACAUAUGCCUUUGGAAUUUCGGUAUUUGGACUUGUAUGGACUGAGAAAUACCGAUUACAGUUUUCUGCGUUUUGCAAACCUGUUUUGGUAAUUCUGGUUUAGUAUUUGGCAUUUUUGACCUAGUUAAGCUAGGAACUGGAUUGAGUGACCUUCUAUAUUGUUGUAGCCCUGUUUCAUAGCUUCGAAACGGUGGGUCUUACACCCCCAUCCGAUAAUCGUAGUGAAAUUGACGCCAUUACCGCAAAGUAAGGACAAAACAGUUUUAUUUUCAGGGCCAAGGCUAAAGCCAUUGUUUGAAUUUCUGGUUUGCUAUAAUGCUUGUAUAUGCUUAUGAAACCCUAUUGGGGUUGUGAUUGGCGUUGCUUUAUGACUCGUUAUUGAGUCUCAUUGUACUUGCUUAUGUGUUCUAGGGCGUGACGGUGGUUCACGACAUUCCCCUGACGGAAGUGCAUGACAUAGCACUUAAUUGCUUAGUGAGUAUACUACUCACUUACUUGUUAUAAUGUGGCUUUGUUCCUUGUGUAUUUGAUGCCUUGAAGGCUUAAUUGGUUAUUGGAAGUGAUUGAGGUGAGGGUGUACUUGACCGCCCUCACCCCUUGUAAUUUCCUUCAUGGCUAUUUACUGUUUUACUGAAAUACUGCAAUUGUUAUAUGAGAUACUGAAUUCCAUGCAUGGAAACUGAUUUGGUGUCGUUUGGACGAGUAACCAACGGCUUUACUGUAUUACUGAGCUCAACCCCGUUUGGUAGUCAAUUGGAUCGAGCCGGCGAGGGCUUGGUCGUGAAAAUUGUCAUGCCACGGGGACUGUAUUGGGGAACCUUGUAGUAAUGAGACUCUUGGUUCCGGUAUACUCGAGUAUUACCAAAAACUACUGAAAUGGAGUGCGGGCCCGGUUGGGGUAUGUUGGGUGGAAGGAUUGGAAGUAAAGGGUGGUCUACGGUUUGGUACUUUUAACAUUGACGGAGAGUCAAUGAGGUUGGAUCAAGAUUGCAAGCGUGGAAAUGGGCUGUUGAGAGCCGACCGUAUCCUUUCACUGAUUUGCUUUAUUUCGGAAUUGCGUACUUGAAUUGAAUGGUUAUGCUUAUGUGAUCUUAGUUGCUAUUGUGGUAGUAACUCACUGAGCUUUAGCUCACUCCAUUCCAUUUGUUUUCCUUACAGGAAAUGAUCUCUUUUGGAAAAGAUUGUGUUAGAUGGUUGCCAAAAUGAGCUCUUGUAUAUGUAUCUUUUGAUUAGCUCAUUGAGUGAAACCCUAAUGUGUACUGGGUUCACUUUCUUUUGAAUCGGCAAACCGAAUGUGUAUAAUCGUGAUAAAUAGCUUUGGCAUGACUAUUUGAAUGUAAAUGUUGUAUUUCGAUGUAUAUAUAUGUUGGUUCGAGGUUUGGUUGGAUUUCGGACUGAUCCGCCUUUCAAACGGAAAAGAAAAAAAUUUGGCGGGAAUGAACAGGACCGAAUCCGGCCAGGAAUCCGGCCAGGAAUCCGGCCAGAAACUGGCCGGAUUGCCGGCCGGAUUGCAGGCCGUUUUGGAAAAAUUUUGGAUUGCUCUCUGGCCAGUAUCCGGCCAGGAAUCCGGCCGGAUUCUGACGUGGCCUGCACUAUUCAUCUUCGGCAAAAAUUUUCGUUUUUUUUUAUUUUGUGAUUUUGACUUGUUUGCGCGCAAUGGUAUGUUCCGGAACGUAAUAGAUCGACGUAAACUGAACCGUUAGUCCUGGCGAGAGCUGGGCAGGCAGUCCGCUAACCCCUUUGGUUCGCCUUAGGGGAAGGUGGGGCUGUUACAAGUGGUAUCAGAGCCACGUCGCGUGGUUUCUGCGCGGAGUGAGACUGGGCCAAGUGGUGUUGUGGUCUUAAUUUCAUGGAUAUGUCUAAGUGCUCGUUUGAGCGUAAGUUAUGAACCGGGCAUGUGAUAAGUGUACGAAUCGUUAUCAUGGGACUCGAGGAAGCUAGGUGUGUAUGUCGGGUAGGAAUAUUUAAUAAGGAUGGUUUACUCUUGGGACCGGCCGGCUCGAGAUGUGAAUUAUCUUAAACGGGAUUCUUGCGCCCGGAUACGAAAGAUAUGAAGGCCUAGGUUAGAAAGGAUUUGGUGAACUAGAAAGGUGAUUCUAUGGAACUUCGUGUGGUUUGUUUGGGUGUGGUUAAGCGUGAUCGACCUUGAUUAACAUAUAAAUAUUUGGACGAAACCCUAGAAGGGGAAAAGCUUUUCGUGAGUUCUUUUGCACUUGUGGCCUAGUUGUUCAAAGUACUUUUGAGGACCCUAUUGUUCCAUGCAAUGACUUCGUAUGUAAUUGACUGACUGUUCCGUAUGAUUGCUUAACCUGGUUAUGUGAUCUAUGUACGUGUUAUGUGUUUAAAUGCUCUUCGCAGUAAAUGUUUGAGUUGCUUAUUCUUGUUUCACUGUUCCUGUCUGGUGCUACGGAAGGAAGGGUUAGGUGCCCUUUAACAGUGUAUUUAUUUGAUGACCUAGAUUGACUUAGAUUGAUGGAAGGCACCCGAAGUGGUCGAGGCCGUGGACGCAGGGGUAGACAACCCACACCGAUUAGGGGUACGGGGGAAACCUCUACUGGGCCCAAUCCUGAACCACAAGCCGACCCCACUGUUCAAAUAGCUGCUGCUAUGCAGCAAAUGACAAACCUACUCGCACAAGUAGUGCAACAACAGGGCCAGAACCCAAACCCUAAUCCCGGAAACCCCGGUAAUCAUAUCGAGAGCGAAGAUAGAGAGCUAGAACGUUUUCAAAAGUUUUCUCCGCCAAAGUUCGUUGGGGGACCCGACCCUGAUGUUGCUGAGAAAUGGCUUGAGAAGAUGGUAGACAUUUUUGCAGCUCUACAUUACCCAGACGAACGGCAGGUCACUUUCGCCGUGUUUCAACUCGAGGGGGCUGCCCGUUCCUGGUGGAACGUAAUUAGACAGAAAUGGGAGCGGGAGCAGACGCCUAGGACUUGGGUGAACUUCAUCCGAGAAUUUAAUGCCAAGUUUUUUCCUCCCCUAGUCCAGGAGAGGAAGGAGGACGAGUUCAUUAGGCUUCGCCAAGGGGCUCAAACUGUGGCGGAAUAUGAGAGUCAAUUUACCCGCCUGUCCAAGUUUGCGCCUGAACUAAUCAUGACUGAGCAACGACGGGUUAGGCGCUUCAUUCAGGGUUUGAACGUUGAGAUCCAGAAAGAUCUCGCGGCGGCUCAAAUCACUACGUUUAGCGAGGCAAUGGAAAAAGCCCAACGAGUUGAAAGUGCACGAAUGCAGGUUCGAAACUUCCAGGCUAAGAAGCGUGGAUUUCCUGAAAGUAGUUCGGGGCAGGGGAAUGAAAGUACCCUUCCCAAGUUUGGACGAGGAACGGGAGGAGUAAGGAUGCCGGGAGUGUCACCGGAGAGGCCGUCAAGAGGAGGCUCGGCUUCUACAGCACGCGGACCCUGCGGGUAUUGCGGAAAAUUUAAUCACUCAGAGGAUAACUGCUGGAGGAAAGGAGGAAAAUGCUUGCUCUGUGGGAGUGCCGAACAUCAAAUUGCUAACUGUCCAGCUCGCCUGCGCGAGCGGCAAGGGACUCUGCCACCAACCACGACCCACCCUGACCGGUCGAAGGGGGACAAGGAUGAAUCAAAAGUGUCCUCUCGGGUGUACUCCUUAGAACAACAUCAAGGCUUUGACCCAUUAGAGGACGUGGAAGGUAAGAAUUUACUGAACCUGACCAGUGAAGGGGCACAGAUUUGUUAGCAAAGUAUAAAGCUCAAUUUAAUCCCGGAGUAGUCAAUGAUAAGGAAUUUCGAGGACGAAAUUCUUUUAAGGGGGAGAGAGUGUGAGAACCCGUAAAACCCUAAUUAUUUUCCUAGGGUUUAUUACCCCUUAAUUGCAUAAUUUUUGCAUUUUCUGACUUAGAAAUAUUUUUCUGGUAGAUUUUAUGAGCAAUUAUAGUUUUAAAAUGAUUUUUCUAGCAUUGUGAAAUUUUAGAAAAUUAAGAAUAUAUAAUGGACGUGGGACCCACUAGUGCGAAAAGUUCGGAAAAAUUCGGCCAAUUAGGUUAAAUUCCGGAUACUGUGUAAAAUUUAUCGGGUGUUAAGAGAUAAGUAGAGUGUGUGAAAUGAUUGAUGUGAGAGAGAAAAGAAAUGAUAGGAUUGCAUUAAUUGAGGUGCCAAGUGUCAUUGUUUCAUUGGGUUUGACUUAAGACUUACUAUUCAUGUUUUUGACUUUUGACCCAUUAGUUAAAUAUCUCAAAAAAAAAAAAUUGACUAAAACUCACCAUUUUUCACUCCUUGUUGGCCGACUCUUGAGAGCUCAAGAAGGAAGAAGAUUGCUCAAAAUUUCAAGCUCCCAACUAGCUCAAUCUUCCAAACCACUUGCAUAAAUUAGUUUUUACUCCAUAAACUUCUUCCAUUAGGUGCUAGUGGUGAGUUUGGUGAAGUUUGUUUGAAGGUUUAAGGUGUCCAAUAUCCUCCUCUCUCUUGUUUCUUGGUAAGUGAAGCUUGAACACCCUACUACAUCUAAUGAUGCUUAUGUUUGGCUUAGAAGUGGCUAAAGUGAUGAAUUAUAUGAGUUAUUUCUUGGUUUGGCUUGAUUUGGUGAAGUUUUUAAUUUUAUGAUGAAUUUUCUGGUUUAAUAUGAAAUGGAUGUUGUAGCCAUCUUUGAUGAUUGGCAAUGGACUAUAAUGACUCUUGUAGGUGUGAAUUGUUGCUAAAUGCAACCAAUUUUGGAUUUGGUGUGAAAAUUGAAAAGUUAGGGUUCAUAAACCCCUAAUUCUGUCCGGUUUUGGAUCAUAGGGUUAGAGGCCGAAUUUGACUUUGCUCAAAACAUGAAAGUUGUAGGUAUUGAUGUGUUUGAGGUGCUUGUAAAAUUUCAGGUCAUUUGGAUUAAUGUAGAAUGAGAUAUGACGGAAUUACUGUAGCUGUUCUGCUUUGGACAGAAUGCGAAAACUGCGAUAGUAAUUGGCCAUUUUGACUGGAAUUGGUUUGGAUUUUGGAGUUGGUGUCUUCUGGUGAAAUGUAGCUGAAUGUCUUAGCUAACAUAUGCCUUUGGAAUUUCGGCAUUUGGACUUGUAUGGACUGAGAUAUACCGAUUACAGUUUUCUGCAUUUUGCAAACAUGUUUUGGUAAUUCUGGUUUAGUAUUUGGCAUUUUUUGACCUAGUUAAGCUAGGAACUGGAUUGAGUGACCUUCUACAUUGUUGUAGCCCUGUUUCAUAGCUUCGAAACGGUGGGUCUUACACCCCCAUCCGAUAAUCGUAGUGAAAUUGACGCCAUUACCGCAAAAUAAGGACAAAACAGUUUUAUUUUCAGGGCCAAGGCUAAAGCCAUUGUUUGAAUUUCUGGUUUGCUAUAAUGCUUGUAUAUGCUUAUGAAACCCUAUUGGGGUUGUGAUUGGCAUUGCUUUAUGACUCGUUAUUGAGUCUCAUUGUACUUGCUUAUGUGUUCUAGGGCGUGACGGUGGUUCACGACAUUCCCCUGACGGAAAUGCAUGACAUAGCACUUAAUUGCUUAGUGAGUAUACUACUCACUUACUUGUUAUAAUGUGGCUUUGUUCCAUGUGUAUUUGAUGCCUUGAAGGCUUAAUUGGUUAUUGGAAGUGAUUGAGGUGAGGGUGUACUUGACCGCCCUCACCCCUUGUAAUUUCCUUCAUGGCUAUUUACUGUUUUACUGAAAUACUGCAAUUGUUAUAUGAGAUACUGAAUUCCAUGCAUGGAAACUGAUUUGGUGUCAUUUGGACGAGUAUCCAACGGCUUUACUGUAUUACUGAGCUCAACCCCGUUCGGUAGUCAAUUGGAUCGAGCCGGCGAGGGCUUGGUCGUGAAAAUUGUCAUGCCACGGGGACUGUACUGGGGAACCUUGUAGUAAUGAGACUCUUGGUUCCGGUAUACUCGAGUAUUACCAAAAACUACUGAAAUGGAGUGCGGGCCCGGUUGGGGUAUGUUGGGUGGAAGGAUUGGAAGUAAAGGGUGGUCUACGGUUUGGUACUUUUAACAUUGACGGAGAGUCAAUGAGGUUGGAUCAAGAUUGCAAGCGUGGAAAUGGGCUGUUGAGAGCCGACCGUAUCCUUUCACUGAUUUGCUUUAUUUCGGAAUUGCGUACUUGAAUUGAAUGGUUAUGCUUAUGUGAUCUUAGUUGCUAUUGUGGUAGUAACUCACUGAGCUUUAGCUCACUCCAUUCCAUUUGUUUUCCUUACAGGAAAUGAUCUCUUUUGGAAAAGAUUGUGUUAGAUGGUUGCCAAAAUGAGCUCUUGUAUAUGUAUCUUUUGAUUAGCUCAUUGAGUGAAACCCUAAUGUGUACUGGGUUCACUUUCUUUUGAAUCGGCAAACCGAAUGUGUAUAAUCGUGAUAAAUAGCUUUGGCAUGACUAUUUGAAUGUAAAUGUUGUAUUUCGAUGUAUAUAUAUGUUGGUUCGAGGUUUGGUUGGAUUUCGGACUGAUCCGCCUUUCAAACGGAAAAGAAAAAAAUUUGGCGGGAAUGAACAGGACCGAAUCCGGCCAGGAAUCCGGCCAGUUUACUGGCCGGAUUGCCGGCCGGAUUGCAGGCCGUUUUGGAAAAAUUUUGGAUUGCUCUCUGGCCAGUAUCCGGCCAGGAAUCCGGCCGGAUAUCCGGCCAGAUUCCGGCCGGAUUCUGACGUGGCCUGCACUAUUCAUCUUCGGCGAAAAUUUUCGUUUUUUUUUAUUUUGUGAUUUUGACUUGUUUGCGCGCAAUGGUAUGUUCCGGAACGUAAUAGAUCGACGUAAACUGAACCGUUAGUCCUGGCGAGAGUUGGGCAGGCAGUCCGCUAACCCCUUUGGUUCGCCUUAGGGGAAGGUGGGGCUAUUACAAAAUAAUUGUUAGAAAUGAAAGGUUAGUCAUGUAAAAUUGUACUCAGUUAAUUACGUAUAAGAUACUUAAAUGGAAAUCCAAAAACAUUGUAAUUUAACCGUAUGAAGCCAAAUUAGACAAGGUAAGAUAAGUUCUAAAUUGUUAAACGAAAUGUUAAAAUAAUAAUGAUAAUAAUAAUGCUAAUAAUAUAGCACUAAUGAUAAUAAUCAUAGCGGUAAAUAAUAAUGUUGAUGAUAACACUAAUAAUAAUAAGGAAUAAUUAUAAAUUAUAAAUUGAUGUAGUAAGACAGUAGUCAAGAUAAUAAGCAUGCUUAUGAGUAAUUUUUCUCUUUUAAAUUAGUAAACCUUACUAAAAGGAGAGCCGUUCCGAUUAAGAAACUUUCUAAAAAUAGAAACUUUUCAAAUUAGGAAACUUUCCAAAAAUAGAAAUCAUCAAUUUAAGGAAGAGGCUAUUAGGGUUCAUAUAAUGGGUUAGACACGAAUUCUCGAUUUACUCAGAGUUUGUAUAUUUAUGCAUCUGUAAGAAGUAACAACUAAUUAGGGAACUUAUGCAUUUGAUAGGUACGGUACAAGGACCUAAGAUAGUUCCACUAGAGCAGCUAAACAAAAGUAGGUGGUACUUACCCUUUUGAGAUUUCAAAUGUGCAAAUGAAAUUCUUGUUCUCAAUCUUAUUUAGUUGUGUUGACUCCAAAUGUGUUUGAUUAAAUGCUUUUCUCAGAUAUUUAUGAAAGCUAUAUUCUACCAUACAAAAAUGGACCAUGUGAUUUAUUUGAAAUGUUUUGAUAUGUUCUUAUAUACAAAAUGAGCUGAAUCCUUUAUGAAAGCAAAGAUUUAUGUAUAAGAUAUAUGAAAUGAAUUUUAACAAGUAAAGCUCAAAGCAGUCAUGGAAUAUACGGUAGGGGCUAUAGUCCUGUCUAAUCGCCAUGGUAGUUUGGUAUAAAGUUCGGCUGAUUGGCAAGGUCAUGGUAGCCUGGUAUAAAGUUCGGCCGAUUGACAAAGCCAUGGUAGUCUGGUAGAAAGUUCGGCCGAUUGGCAGGGUCAUGGCAACCUGGUAUAUAAUCCGGCCGAUUGACCCAUGAAUGAAAUGAGAUCAAUCGAUAGUCGCAAAAUCUAUUGGUCGCUCACCUAGAAGGGAUUUAAUCUCUAGAUUGAGUACUCAGUAGCCGGUCAUUGUACUUGUUAUGAGUUAAUAUGGAAAGAUUUAUGUGCUAAUAUGAAAUGGUUUACGAGCUGAUAUGGAACGAUUUAUGAACUGAUCUGAGAUGAGACUCAUGAACUGAUAUGAAUUGAUUUGUGACUUGAGACGAAAUGAUUUAUGACAUUACGGUUUCUCAUGUUUAAUUAUCAAUAAGAUGCUUUUAAAUUGUUUAUCAUUCUUUACUACUGAUGAUUUUAUAAACAACGGUGCCUCCCUGAUUUUGGAAGCGACUAAGGUGCAAUGAUUCGAUUAUAUCUAUAUAUGUAUCUAUAAAAUCAAGAGUGCAUGGUCCAACAGAGGGGUAGAUAUUACCUACUGAGCAAUGUGUCGCUCAACCCACUUCUUACCAUUUUUGCAGAUUCUGAGGAGUAUGAAUUAGUUUAUAUAGAAGACCCUGAGGAUGACUUUUAUUAGCUUUGGAUGAAUAGAAGUUGGCAGGCUAGCUACUUUUAGUUGUUAGUCUUAUUUACUUUUGUUUCCGCUGUUUCAAUCAGAGAAUAAAUGUACGAACGUCUUGAAUAUUCGUAGACUUUCUUUUAUAUGUAAUUCAUAUCGCACUUUAUUUAGUACUGUUAAAGUUAAACUAAUUAAUGUAGCCUUGUAUUCUUGAGUGGGACUUGGGAGUACGGCCGAUGUCAUGUGACGGGCGCGUGCGGGCUCGGGGCGUGACACAUAGAUAUUAAAAUAAAUCCUUUAAAUCUAUAGUAUUGGAACAUUGAAUUUUAAUUAAUGGGAAAGACAACAAGAAAUAAAAGAAAGUUUUAUAAAUAAUUCCUAUAAUCACUUCACAUUUAUACUUGUUUUCAUUUGUUUUUAUAAGUACAAUGACUAGCUACAAGAAUUUAAAAUCUACAUGCACAAGACAUGCAACAAUUUGUGUAGUAGUAAUUAUAAUAAACUUAAAUUAUAAAACCAGAAAUCUCCUUUAUAUUUUAUUUGUUAUUGCCAUAUUGUCAUCCAAAUUGUAAUUUAUUUUACAAAGAUAUAUAUAAGCUACCACCAUGCUGUGUCAAUAUAAUGUGUUUUCAUGAAAUUUAGGAACAUAUUUGUUGUAUGUUUAAUUUAACUCACAUAUUAUUUUAUUUUCAAAGCUCUAAUUGCAACUACUUAAAAUUCAUGGGAACAUAAUGAUCCAAAUUUGAAACAUUAGGGACUAGAAAUACGAAUUCAGAACUUUUGACUAACGCCAAUUUGAUGUUAACCAUUAGUUAUGAUGAUUUUCCAUUAGUUGUCCAAAGCUGUCUAAAAUCACGAAUUUUAGGGGUAAAUUUAUAUUUGUGAAAAUAGUGGGGACUAAUUUGACAUAUAAGCUAAACAUUGGGGACAAGUAAUCUAUAAGAACCACUGUAAGGUGCUCCAUAUGACGUAUGGAGGGUUUCAAGGUGCUUCAUAUGACAAAUGGAGAAUUUUGAGAAGAAUUUGUCGUGCAAUUUCCUAGCAUUGUUUGUUCUGAUAAAUACGUCACCAGCCUACCCUGAAUUGGAAUAAGAUAAUCUUUUUUCUCCACCCAAAUGUUAUAAUUACCAAAAAGAAAUUAAGACCACAUGCUUUUUUUGGCGUCCUAUUAGGACUUGUUUAGAUCAAACUAGUUGAAAACAAUGGUUGCUGCUACUAACUUGGUUGUGGAAGAACAUAUUGUAUUCCUACUCUACUCCGAAGAGCUUGAUGAACCUCAGAGUUUAUGAUGGCUAGUUAACGGUGGAGCAAAUACAACGAAUUUAUAUAUGUCUCCACAAUUAACGUGAACGUACUGAUUUAUAGAAGAAAGUUAUACUGUUUUUAAUGUGAAUGAGUUAUGGAUCCAACCUUGAUAAGUUUAGGUUAAUUAAAGUAACCACACGCAAUCAGGCUCAAUUAUAGUUUAGCCCCUUCAUUCACCAAGUAUGCAGAUCAAACCCCAUGAAUAAUAGUCAAAGCCAUGAAAUGAACUUUGUUUUAUGUCAAUAGCUGAAAAGACAAUUAUGCCAUCAGAAUUUCUAGCCUUGAUAAGUUCACCCUUCUCAUGCCAUUGGAUAAAAGUAUUCUCCCAUCGGAGAAAAUAUGUCAUUUAAAAAAGUUAAAUGUAUGACCCCGAAUUUUCACUCCUUGAAGUUUGCAACUCUCAACUUGAAAUAUAGCAUUUUGAACGGUGGUCAAAUCUAAAGGAGUGUGCUCAACUCUGUUCCCAUGGUCAUAAUGACCAAUUUACCCAUAACUAACUAUUAUACCCUCAUGGUGCACAAUCUAAAAUUUUCUUCUCUAUUGUGUCCUUGUUUGCAGGGGAUUACAAAUACGUACAAAGCACAUGAUCUUUAAUGAAAGGUCUUCUUCAGCUAUUUAUUCUGUGCCAAUAUUUAAAACCAAAAUCUCUCCUUUGUACAUAUUUGAAUUGGGGAGUGGUAUUGUGAACACUUUUCCCCAUGAGAAUAUCCCCCAUUUUAUACCUAUAAAACCCUAAAAAUAACUCAAUACAAAAACCUAAGUUGAAUGGAUAUUGCAUAGAUUGUUGAGAGUGGGUUCAAUUGGUAAGACUCAUUUAUUUUGCUUAAAAGAAGUUGAGAUUCGACUUCCAUUAUCAACGGUCUCUUAUUAAUAGGCAAUCUGUAAAAUCCACUAUAAAUUGUUGAAAGAUGCAUCAUUGGCCUACUUUAGCUUAGAAUGGAAUAACCUUUUUUCCUUCUAAACUUUAUUAUUACAAAAAAAAAAAGACCACAUGCUAUUUUUGGCAUCUUGUCACUUGUUAGGACCUGUUUGCAGAUCAAACAAAUUGAAACACCAUUUGUGUUUAGAGUUGUUACUCCACUACUUACCUAGUGGAGUAAUGCUUACCACGAAACCCCCGCUGUGUACAGAAGACACGGCAAAUUGGAGCAAAGUUUUUUUUUUCCCGACUGCCAAAAUGAUUUCAGUAGAAAAUUAAAGGAGGGACUAAGGAUUUAGUCCCUCUUGGAUUUUGUCUUUCUUCUUAAUUUCUUAUCGGUAAAUCCACUUUUUAUUACAUUUCUUACCACCAAUCCACUAGCAGUAGUUAUAGGGAGGCCAUGAAAAGAAAGUGCAUCCGUUUUCCUCCGUUCAAGUUUGAGAAAUACCUGAAUCGAAAAGCAGAUCAGCUUGCUGUUUUCAACCUGACGCAAUAAAUCAAGAAAAAAAAAGUUGAAAAUAGCUUUUCUAUUUUCUUUGUUUUCUUUUCUUGUUUGUUUAGCACAUUAGAAACGAGGUUAAUGUAGAAGAAUGCACAGAAGUUUGGCUUUUCACUGGUCGUUGGGAUCAAUUUGUGCUUCCCUCCUGAAGUACCUGAGCUGCAAAUAUUUCCGCAAGACUACUAAAAAAUCACAGUGGUAAUAAAACACAAAAAAAAAAACUUUCUACGUUGAUCAAUGGAAGUAAUUUUCGUAAUCCAUAAUUUACAUUGCCAAUGUGAUUGCACCAUAUUAAAUUUCCACGGGAUGCUAUAAUUCUUGAAUUCUCAAAUAAAGCAGCGAUUCUAUCAAUGAAAAGCUUGAUAUUUUUGCUUCUUUUGGCAAGAAUUUUCACAAACAACACAUAAAUUAACCCCACAAGAUACAACCAAAAGGGUGACUUUUGGUCGCACCCAUGGAACUUAAGUACUACUCACGCACACUCUUAACAAAUGAUGUGGGAUGUAGGGAUAGGAACAAGGGGAGCUUCUACUAAGCACUAAGGAGCACUCACUCACUCCGGUUCUUAAUCUCUCCAACAUGUCUUUUUUUUUUCUUUUGGCAAGAAUUUUCACAAAUAACACCUAAGUUAAACCCACAAGAUAAAACCAAAUGGCUGACUUUUGGUUGCACCCAUGGAACUUAUGAUAUUUUUGCUUCUUGAAAAGAUCCUUCUUAGAAAGGCCACUUAUGAGAGUUACAACAUUAUGAGAAUCCUAUUUUUUUAUAUAUAUAUUUUACAUACAUUACAUCAUAAAAAAUGAUAUACUGUUAUUUUCAAAGAUUUUUCCAAGUAAUUAUAUAACAAAACAUUCUAUAACACCUCUUGAAUAUGCUGUCAUUCAUUGCAAAAUAUUGGUACAAUUUUACAGCACAAAUGUAGCAUAACAUCACUGAUCUGACAAAGCCUUUCUAAUACAAUCACUUUACUAGGAGCUGAGAAUUUUGUUGCAGUAAAAACAAAAAAAAUUCCAAUAAACUUGAAGAAAAUAUAAAUAUCACCAAGAAAAAUUGAUUAACAAAAGUUUAGUGAUCGAAAAUUCCCAACCAGGGAAAAAAAAUACCUCGUUACCAAAUUCUUGUUAUUUUGUCUCCUUUCUUCCUCCCUCAUCCUUAAGAGAAUAAGAUGAAUAGAUUGAUUAAGGGAUAAGAAGAAGAAACCCUUCAUUAAACCAAAAGUAACCAGAACAAAGGAAGGGAUUUAUUUAAACACACUGAAAACAAUAGACUAAAAACCUUCGAAGAAAAUUAAAAAUAAAGACAGGAACAGCGGAAGAAGAAGCUUUCUUUUUUUGGAUGCCUGUAUAGUAGAGAUGAAGUAGCCAUCAACAAUUAAGGGAAUCAAGACUGUUUUAUAGUUUAAUCAACUUGCCUUUGCCUUUAGUUAGUAGGCUAACAAAAGAGAUUUGAGAGAGAUUUGGUAAGUUCCUCUUAUCCCAUACACAAGUUCCAUUAGCUUCCCCUUAUCCUCUAUCUUGGGAGUAAUAUAUAGUAGGAAUAGUACAUCGGUUGUUGCAUGAAGGAAACAAAAAUAAAGACGAGUAUCCAUUUUGGUUGGUCAAUACUGCAUUACUUGAUCAAGACAAUAAUGAUUACCCCAGAAAGAUUACUACAAUAAUGAUUACUUAAUAUUUUUCUUAAGUGUUUUCUUUGUGGCUUUUCCUUCCGGAAAUAAUCAUGUGUGCUUGGAUAUGUCGUCAUUUUCAAAACAAAAAAAAAAGUUUGACUUUCAAUCUGCUAAUGCAGACCAUUCGACAGUGUAAACCUAAAAUCUCGUAAUCAUUAGUGUAAACGACAAUAGGAUCAAGAACUGUAUCUGUAUGGUUAAUCAACAUAUUAACAGCUUUUCAGCAAUAGGAUGGUGAAAAGUAACUUGAUCGAGCAGGAAAAAGAAAAGUUAAUCAUUGAGGUUUGAUCUAACUAGAGAACCUUUUAGAACUUUUGCCCUACACUAGGUUAGGAGGAUUAAACCCGACCUAGAGUAUUACAAGGAAGCCUCAUUCUUCCUUUGUUAGAAAAAUCCAGAAAAUACAGCAAUAUACUCCUCUCUCCUAUAAGAUAGAAGUAAUAUAAAUUAUUGCUAUUAGACAAGAAAAAGAAAAGUAGGAAAAAGAAAAGCAAACAUACCUGACUUAAAAAAUUUUAUGGUCCUAAGAUCCCACGGCAAAAUACUGUCAAAAUGUGCCCUUUGAGAGUUGAGACCUGCUAUUCUAUCCCAAAGGGAGAGCAAGAAAAAGAAAAGCAAAAUCGAGAAAUAGCCGACUUAAAAAAUUUUAUUGUACUAAGAUCCCACUGCAAAAUAGUGUGGAAAAUGUAGCCUUUGAGAGGGAUUAAGAUGCGUAAUAACACUUCCUCUCACUAAGUAGAGGGUUUCUCUCUCUAAGUAAAAAUGCUCUCUCUUAGGUUAGGAGCUUCUUCACCUUUUUGGUGGGAAAAGGCAGAUAGCUCAAACUUUUUCAAACUCUCUGUUUCAAACACACAUAAUCCCGCUUUAUUAUCAUUAGGUAGUUCGAAGAUGGAUGAUUCAUCACCUCUGUCGGAAAUUAUGCAACCGAUACUUAUACCUCACUGAGAUUUGAUUUGCAUGGUUAGAAGUAGCUGAAGCGACACAAGCUCCAUAACUUGAGUAAGCCUUUGCCAGGUUUAAUGCGACUCUGUGCUCCCAUCUUUCCUUUGUACUCUUAAAGGUAAUCGUGAUCAGAGCAAUUUUUACUUUUUCUAGUUCGUUUUUGGGUCUUUACCAGUAAAAUCCUCUAGUGUUUCCUUUUGGUUUUUCUGUUUUCUGUUGUUUUUGGCCUGCUAGUACCCUGUUUUUGUCUGCGUCCUCUGUGUGUGGAGUAGCGAGGGCUGACUGUCCAUGGAGGGAGAUCUUUUGGAACUGCUACAAAAAUUCUCCUUGGAGGGGAAUGAGCUCUUAGGAGCUAUUUUGGAGGUGGAGGACCUUUAACAUGGUGUGAGAGCAUGCAUGGAUAGUCUCAUAGGCAGAGUUAUAGGAGAAAAAGUGACUAAUUUUACAGGGGUAAAAAGUUUUGUUGCUAUGGCAUGGGGAUAUCCGAGGAAUAUGACUGUUGGAACUGGGGCCUAAUGUUUUUCAAUUUAAUAUCCCAAAUGCUGAUGAGAAGGAAAAGAUUGUCAAUGGAGGACCUUGGGUGAUUGACAAUCAAAUGUUAGUGCUGAAAAAGUGGACAAAGGGGAUAGAGGAAGACUAUAAUGCCUUCACGGUAGCGCCCCUUUGGGUGCAACUCUGGAAUUUGCCAAUUCACUGGCUUUCCAAAGAGGUUGGAAAAAAGGUUGGAUCAGUGUUCACAUAUGUCAGAGAGGUGGUAGUACCUCAAUCUGGGGGGAAAGAGGGUAGACAUUUGAAGAUAUUAGCUCAGGUAGAUUUGUCUAAACCUCUUCUUCGAGGCACAGUGGUUAAGAUUGCAGGUGUUCUUAAGUGGAUUGCUUUUAAGUACGAACGGUGUCCUGAUUUUUGCUACAACUGAGGUGUAGUUGGCCAUAGUAAGAGAUCCUGCAAGGAGAGGAGAGUCCUAGGAGGAAGUCAUGUAGAAAACCAAUAUGGCCCAUGGAUGAGAGCUGGGAAUUAUAAAAGUUCACCUCUGAAAAGGUCUUAUAGGCCUGAAGUGUUAAGUGAUAAAAGGUACUGGUCCUAUCGAAAUGGAGAAUUGGUUAAGCAGGAGAGGGGUAGAUCUACAUUGGCUAAAUGUCUACUGGAAACGCUCAAGACCAAUGUGAAUGGGGGUGAUAGCAAUCAGGAGCUAAGAAAGGAUAGAGCAGAUGACAGGUUUGUGAAAGAUACAGGCACAUCUACAUAUGUUAAAGAUAGUAAGGAUGUUCCUCAAGGUAGUCAUGAGGAACGUUUGAACCCAGAUGAAAGGAACUAUGAUGUAUCUCAGGUGCAUCAGGUUGUUGAAGAAGGUAACGAUCCCCAGGAGGUUGAUAAGAUGGAGAAGGAUAGAUAGGUUGAGAUAUUGAGCCAUACUCAGAUUCAUGAACUGGGGACUAAGGAGGAGUCAGUAGGAACUCUUGUGCUUUGCCAGGAAAGCCAUUGUGCUGAAAGGGUGGAGGCAGUGAUAGAUAUGAAAGCCAAGAGGACUUUUAGGAGGUUGAAAUCCCCAACCAGAACUAGGAAAUCUUUGAGGGAGUUAAAUGGUAGAGGGGAUAAUCAGAUGAUGGUUGGGAAGAGGAAGUGCCUGAUUAGGGAUGAAGAGAUGGAAGAUGCCAACUCUGCGCUAGUUCAAUGGAAAAAAACUAAAGCUAUGGAGGAACUGUAUUCUACUGAUAUGAGGGGAGAGGAGGAGGGGCCUUCCUUAAAGGGGCCCCCAAAGGAAAAUGAGAGUCAUGGUGUGGAACUGUCAAGGAGUGGGGAGCCCCUUGACAGUUCCCCAGCCAAGGGAGGUGAAUAACCUCUCCUCUCCAAGUUUGAUUUUUUUAAGUGAGACUGAGAAUAGGAAACCAGUGCUUGAUAGGAUGGCUAGGGGUCUCAGGUUUGAUAAUUCUGUAGUAGUUGAAGCUAUGAAUAGAGCAGGUGGCAUGGCUUUGUUUUGGACUAAGGAUACACAUAUUCUAGAAGUGAACACUACUGCCUUCACUAUAGAGGCCAAAAUUGAAGAUAUUGACACCCAAAUUACUUGGUGGUUUGUAGGUUUGUAUGCCAGUUAUGACCAGAUGAUAAAGAGGGAGCAAUGGAGGGUGCUCAGUAGGAGGAAAAGGUUAUGGGGAGCGAGGUAUUUGAUAGCUGGGGACUUCAAUGACAUUUUAUCUAAUGAGGAAAAGUGGGGAGGAGUAGUUAGAGAGGAGAGGAGCUUUAGGGAUUUUAGGGAUUACAUUGAUCAUAAUAACUUAUUAGAUAUUGGUUUUGAAGGUCAACCUUGGACGUGGAGCAAUCACUGGAAUGAUGAUAGUGAAAUCAGGCAACGUCUGGAUAGGUGCCUUUGUAGUGUCGAUUGGUUCCAAGAUUUUGAGAAGGCAAAAUGUCAACACUUAGGCACUCUUGCUUCAGACCACUUCAUACUUAUGCUAGACACUGUCCCGGCAACAGAUAGGAAAAAAAGAAGGUUCUUUUUCAACAAGAGAUGGCUUCAAAAGGAUGGUGUGCAACAAGUGGUUGAGAAAGCCUGGAAUAAGGAAGAGCAAGGUUCCAAGAUGUUUAAAGUUACUAGAAAGAUUAGGAAUUGCAGAAUUGAACUCUUGAAGUGGAGAAAUUCUUUCCAAGCUAACUCUAGGAGUAAAAUCAAUGCUCUAAAGAAAGAUUUGGAGGAAGCUAGAAAUUUAGAGGCUGUGACUAGGAGGAAAAAUCUGAUUGAAAUUAAAGAUAAGUUGAGCACUGCCUGCAAGGAGGAAGAAAACUUUUGGAGACAAAAAGCUAGAAUUAGUUGGGUUCAGGAGGGGGAUAAGAGCACCAAGUACUUCCAUACCUAUGUCAAGGGUAGGAGAGUGUGUAAUAGAAUCAGAAAUUUGCAGAGAAGUAAUAGUUCUUGGACUAAGAAUGAGGAUGAGAUAAUGAAUGAAAUUUCUGGUUACUUUAAGGAGUUGUUUAGAAGUGGAGGGAGAUGUCUGAAAUCCUAGAGGGUAUUCCCCACUCCAUCACUCAGGAGAUGAAUGCAAACCUGACCAAAGCAGUAGAGGAAAAAGAAAUUCAAGGUGCCCUCUUUUCCAUGAACCCUGAAAAAGCUCCAGGUCAAGAUGGGAUGACUCCACUAUUUUUCCAGAAAUUUUGGAGUACCAUCAAGAGGGGCAUUAUCCCAGCAAUCCAAGCCUUUUUCAGCUCAGGCUUCAUGCUUAAAUCCAUUAACCAUACGGUUAUAUCCCUUAUUCCAAAAAUCCAGCACCCCACCAACCUAAAGAAUUUCAGGCCUAUCAAUCUUUGUUGUGUGCUCUACAAAAUCAUCUCUAAAAUUUUGGCUAAUAGGUUAAAGACUGUCCUGGACAAAUGCAUAAGCAAGACCCAAUCAGCCUUUAUCUCAAAUAGACAAAUCUUAGAUAACGUAAUUGUUGCUCAUGAGUACAUGCAUUACCUAAAAAACAAAAGGUAUGGGAAAGAUGGCUGCAUGGCAAUCAAGUUAGAUAUGACAAAAGCUUAUGAUAGAGUGGAGUGGCAUUUUCUGCAAGCAAUGAUGGAAAAAAUGGGAUUCUGCGAUAAGUGGAUUGAUUGGAUAAGUAGCUGCUUGACAACAGUCAAUUAUUCCUUGAAUUGUAAUGGAGAAGCUAAAGGGUUUGUUUCACCAGGAAGGGGCAUUCGACAAGGAGAUCCACUGUCUCCAUACCUGUUCUUAAUAUGCUCUGAGGGAUUUUCUAAUCUGCUAAGGAAAGCUGAAGAGAGCAAGAGGAUCUCAGGGGUGAAAAUCAGCAGGCAAGGUCCACUACUCACCCAUAUUUUCUUCGCAGAUGACUCACUCAUCUUUUGUAAAGCUAACAAGCAAGAGGCGGCUGAGAUAAUGAAAGUUCUAAAAGUCUAUGAAACAGCUUCAGGCCAGCUCAUUAACCUUGAUAAAUCUGCAGUUUUCUUCAGCAAGAAUAUGGAAUGUGAACAGAGAGGAGAGGUAUGUCAAAUCUUAGGAGGGAUGAUGGAAGCAAGGCAAGGGAAGUAUUUGGGACUCCCUAUGGUGAUUUCUAGAAUGAGGGAUCAGAUUUUUGGUUUUGUACGAGAAAGUAUAAAAAAAAGACUUCAGAAUUGGAAAAAUAAAUUCUUGAGCUUAGCUGGAAAAGAGGUCAUGUUGAAGGCAGUUGCAAUGGCCAUGCCUACAUACGUAAUGUCAUGCUUCAAGCUGCCAAGGAAACUUUGCAAAGACAUUAGCACUUUGAUGUCUAAUUUCUGGUGGGGAGAAACUGAGGGAAGAAAUAAAAUGCACUGGAUAUCUUGGGACAAAAUGGUAGCUCACAAAAACGCAGGUUGCGUUGGAUUCAAGGAUUUGGAAGCCUUCAAUAAAGCUCUACUGGGUAAGUAGGUAUGGAGGUUCCUAACUAAGCCAAACCUUCUUGUCAGUAAGGUCUUAAAGGCUAAAUAUUUCCCUCAAGAAUCCAUUUUACAAAGCACCCCUCGUAAGAACGCACCAUGGAUUUGGCAAGGAUUAAUGGGAGCAAGAGGUUUACUUGAUGAAGGCUUGAUCAGGAGAAUUGGAAAUGGUAGAAGCACGAGAAUCUGAGACCACAAAUGGAUACCAGAGACACUCACGGGGAAGCCAGCUAUGUGCAGAAUAAGUAAUUGUGAACUGGAAAUAGUGGAUGAGCUAAUAUGCCAGCAGAGAUGGAACAGGAAUAUCAUAUUCAGCAAUUUCAGCAAAGAAGAUGCUGAGAAGAUCGUACGUAUCCCCCUAAGCCUAUCUGGGAGGGAAGAUAGCUUCUACUGGAAAUCAAAAGCAGGAGGGGAGUAUACAGUUGACUCAGGAUAUAAAAUGCUGAUAGAGAGGGGUAGAAGCAAGAGGAGGUGCAAAUUGGAGGGAGCAGGAUCAAGCAUCUCAGAAGAAAGCCAACAAAUGACUCAGAUGUGGAAUACACUGUGGAGGCUUAAUGUUAAGCAUAAAAUCAAACACUUCAGCUGGAAGUGUAUUCAAGGAGCCUUACCAGUCAGGGAGGUAGUGUGGAGAUGAACAAGAAUAGACGAUCCUAUAUGCUCAACUUGUGGUGAGGCACAAGGAACUAUAGAACAUCUGCUGCUCAACUGUUCCCAUGCUAUGGAUAUAUGGAAAUCAGCUCCCAUUCAAUGGGAUGGAGCAACAGACCAGAAGGGACAUUUCAAGAGAUGGUGGCUGCGAAUUUCAGAAGCAAGGAGUAGACCAGAAGGGAGGGAUCAUAUUGGACUGACAGCAAAUAUACUGUAGCAGGUAUGGAAAGAUAGGAAUAAGAAGGAAUUUGAGAGCUCAGCUAGGUCAACACCAAUGAGAAUAGUAGACCAUGCGCAUAAAGAAUGGCUGGAACAAGGUAUAGAGCUUCAACAGGGAGAUAGGAAGAGUACAGAAAAAACAGUCCCUGCAAAUGAACAACAAAGCCAGAGCACUGGAAACGAAGGGGCUAUAAUUUUAGCAGUGACAACAGCAAAGGAGCAAGAACAGAAUGGCCUUGGAAUAGGAGUCACAGUAAGAACAAUAGCAAACACUAAAAUUGCAGACUGGGUAUUGAAAGAAAGAAGCCUGGGGAGCAAAAUGUUAGAUGAAGCAUUGGCUUUAAAAAUGGCUCUGUGUAAAGCUGUGCACCAGCAGUGGAGAAAGGUACGACUCAACUUUUGUAACAAAGGGUUAUGGAAACAACUAACACAGCAACAACCAUCAUAUAGCAAGAUGGCUACAUUGCUGGAGGAUAUUUUGAAUCUGAAAAGACCGUUUUGCAUGUGCUCUUUUGGGUUGGAAAAGGAAGAAAAUAUGUUAGAUAGUAGAAAACUGAGUGCAGAUGCUUUAAGCGUAAUUGUGGAUAAGGAAUGAACUUUCCUCAGUGUUCUUUGAACACUUUUUGUACAGUUCCCUCGAGCCGUUGCUCGUACAUGUAACUUUUUUUUUAUGACAAUGAAAUUUCCUAUCGUUUCGACAAAAAAAAGAGAGAGGGAUUAAGACCUGCUAUUCUGACCCAAAGGGACAAGUAGAGUAGAGCUGUCCGAUCAGUGACGUGACGAGGAUGUUGGUUUUGAUGAGAUAUUUGAUAAGAUAUACAAUAAAAUGUAAAUAGACUUUUGAAAGUGUUCCAUUGGCUAAAAUUUCUAAUGCACUUCUAUUUUCUCAUUUGUGCUGGCUCUUUUUAUAGGUUCAAUGGUUUAUGUUUUUAGUAUGUUUGUAUAGGUGAAGUACUUAUAGAAGAUGUAGACAAGUAUUCUUCACCCUUUUUGCUUGCUAUUGGCCGAAGUCACACACAAAAGCUUUCCAGCAGCUGUAGUUGACAAGCACAUACAUUCAAUAAAUGACGACUGGAUAAUGUCAUAAUUCUUUACAUUAUACUAAAACUUUAUUUGACUUUUUUAUUCUGCAGGUUUUAACAUCUACCUUCCCUGAAGGUUGAUUAAAUUAUCAAAAGAACCCUGUGAUUUGAGCAAAUUGCAUGUAUACCCAUACGAGUAAUAGCGUCUACACCCAACAAAAACGGUAGUAGGGAAAUGAAAAAAUUGUGCCUUGCAAAAAACUACAUUUAUCGCCCUCAAAAUUUGUCCAAAUUUUGAAAAGUCCCUAUAAUUUGACCACAAUGCAAUUUAACAUUUCAAUAGCCAAAUGCUUUAUUAAAAAAUUGCUUUACUGUGAUCCAUGAAAAACAAAGCCUAAAUUAAAUGAACUAAAUCAAUUACUAACAACUAAGAAAUGAGCAAAUAAAAAUAAAAUGAGAAAAUAUCUUAAUUUCUCCUUCUUGUGACUAACUUAUUUCAGUUGUUACCAUACUCGAUCAAUCCACUCUUUCCAUUAUACUAAUAUAUAUAUAUAUAUAUAUAUAUGCUAUUUGUUGUGUGAAAAUAGUAUUUAGCUACACUAUAUGAAUUUUUAUCCAUAACAUAAUACUAAAUUUUUAUCCUUAAUUCUUAAUAAGUGUCCUUUUAGGAAUUUUACUUCUGAUUUCCAAAUGGGAGUCAUUGUAUGAAAAUCUUAACUUUCAGUGCUUAGUAGUGGAUGUAAAAAAAAUAGGUUUUCUAUUUUUUAAAAAAAGAGUUUGAUUACUUAUACAUUGACAUGAAAAAGAAUUGUUAAUAUAGAAAAUGUAACAAUGGUGGCUAAAGAAACUACGCCAAUGACCAAAAUAUUUAUCAUUAGUGAUGCCAUAAAUGGAUAGAAAAAAAUUAGUAAUUGAUAGGUAUUGUGAGAAUUUUAUCGGCAUAGUUGCAAUUGAUGCAAUUUAUUAGUGGAAAAUGUUUAGUAAAUAAAAGUUUGGCUAUUUGAAUAAUUGGCUAAUUUGGACAAAAUUUUAAAUUUCAUUUUGUCAGUUUGACAAAUCUCGGGAGAGGUAAAUAAAAUUUGAAUAAAACUUAAAGGGCUGUAAAUGUAAUAAGCUGAAUUUAUUAAAAGGUAUUUUGGGAUUAAUCAUAUAUUGUUCUCAUGCAAGCAUAAUUUCUGAUGGCAAUUAACGUUAGAGGGAAUUUGAUAAACAUUUUCUCAUUCAAGGGGUUGGCUGUAAUUUAAUCAAGUUAUAGGGCUCAUUUGGUAAUUUGAUCAAACUUUAAGAGAAGUAAAUAUAAUUAGAGUAAAUAUUAUAUACACUGACAGUGUAUAUACUAGUACGAUCGGAUGCACGACACAUUUGCAAAAUUUGGGUUUCAAAUUCAAAUUAUAUAUUAUACAUCCAAUGGUGAAAAUGUAUACACUGUCAGUAUAUUUGCAGCAUUUUAGUCCUAUACAUUUGAAACUCGACUAAACCAGCAAUGGAACUUCACUGCAAUGUUCUUCAACUCAGUCAAAAUGAGUGACGAUCGACUGAGUGAUUAGUUCCGAGUUUUAUCGGUCCAAUUGGCCAACUCAUUGGUCCAUUGUUUUUCUUAUUUAUUAUAAACAUGUAUAAAGAAAUCUGAAAAUUUUCCAUCACCGAUGAUGAUUCUGCGCCAGAUCAGUUACAUUAUUUCUUUAAAUUCAUCUUACAAUGAGAGUAACAUCGAACAACUUUGGAACCAUUAACUGUAAGUGUCCUUUUCAGUGGGAAAAAUACUAUUUAAGUACCCAAUAAAGUUUCUUGGUAAGAUGAGAAGUCAAAAACAGUACAACUAAUGUUGCGAAAAUUAAAAACUGUAAUUUCUUCCAACCACUAAAGAAAGAAAAGGAAACUUCCAAAAUAACAAAAUCGUAAUUUAAGAAAAUAAACUUCAAACCACAAAAGAUACAUACCCAAAAGGCCAAAACAAAAAGAAAAAAAAUGAAGGAUACUUUAAACCAAAAAAAGUGGCUUUCAAUUGAUAACAAAACCAAAAAAAAAAAAAUGAUAACAAAACAACACCAUGUCCUAGUAUCACCUUCGUCGUACAAGAAUUAAAUAAAGAAAUAUAUGUCUGCAAAGGGGCUUUUCAAGGGAAAGCAAAGUGGAGAAGAGUUUGAUGUAGAUGAUCUUUGCAAAAGCAAGAAAAACGAAAAGCAUAAUUAGUUGUGUUUAUUUAGAUAAAUAGGAUUUUGUUAAUGUAAAAUAUUAUGUUGUAACAAUUAGUACUAAUUAGCAAGAUUAGGAAUGUCAAUUAGGAUCAAUUACAUCAUUAGUUAAGAUAUUUACCUUGUAUAAUAUUAGUGUAGGUUCAUUGUGUUUAGGUGUCUACGUUAAUUUGUAAAACUUAUAAAUAUAGACGUUAUAUCAUUGUACAAAUUAGGAUUUCAAUAAACAUUUUUCUCCAAAAUUGAUAUCUUUUAACAUGGUAUCAAGAGCUUUUUGCCCAAUCUCUCAAUAAUUUCGUUUUCCAUUUUCUUUCAAAUUUUUUUUUUUUUAACAAAGACUUUCUCGCUACUGAUUCUUCCAAUUUGUCAAUUUCCAAAUAGUUUCAUUGAUUACCCAAGCACUCCGUCUGUCUCCAUGUGCUCGUAAUCAAUUUAAUAAUUUUCGGGUAUCUGGCAUUAGCUUCAUUCGUGUGCCAGUUUGGUGAAGUACUGCCCGUUCCAUUUGACCCCAACUUAAUUUUUUUUUUUGUCAUUCGUCGCUAUUUUAUCUGUAUUCUACUUUAUCCUAAUCUAUUUAAGGGGAAACUCCACUGGACCUUGAAGGGCAGAUGAGAACUGAAUCACCAUCAAACCAAACGGGUGCACUACGCACCUAUCUGAAUUUUUUAGAAGAGCCACUUUAUUGUGACAAUUGGUGGGAGGCAAGAUUUAAAACCUUGACCUCCCACACCACCAAAUCUUAAGAGCUUGGUGGUGGCUACUAGCCCAAAGGCUGGUGGUUUGACUCCAACUUGUUUGAUCAGUCACGGUUGGUUUAUUGCUCCAGUCAAUAUAUUACCGAGGUCUAGAUCCGUGCGUGUUCGAGCUCCAGCAAUGACCCAUAUGCUGCUUCACAGGCCAUACCGAACCUGCGCUUCUCUUGUGCUGUUUACUCCAGCAGCAUCCUUCUAAUCAGACCAGAUCUGAUUCUCUUCUGGUUCACUCAAGUUCCUUCUUUCUUUGACUGGUCUAACACUUUUACACUCAAUUUUCUUACCACUCAAACCAGUUCCCAAGGUUUUCGAACCUUCUGAAUCCAAGUUUGGCAUUCAUUUUGUCUGAUUAUGCCUCAAUGGUUUAGUGCUACUUAUUUGUUAUUCAUUCUCAUAUAUAUAUAUAUAUAUAUAUAUAUAUAUAUAUAUAUAUAUAUAUAGGCUAUCAGCAUGGUUCAAGCAGAUGUAUCUCAGUCAAUUCGUCAAUUCAUAUUAUUCUUGAUGGCAUUAAUUAUCCUUAUUGGGUUCAAGUAUUUCUAAAUUUUCUUUGUGAUCGCAAACUUUGGAAAAAUGCCACCACUCAUCCUAUUGCCACCAUUGAGGAAUCCUCCAACAAAUUCAAUGCUUGGUUCGAAGAAUGAGAUAGUGAUAAUCAUAUAAUUAUCACUUGGAUUACUAAUACUUCUGUGCUUGUCCAUUAAUCGCCUUUUUAAGCAAUUUGACACUGCGAAGGGAGUUUGAAACUUCAUAGCCGACCGUUACAUUGCUAUUGAUCUUUCUCGAUCUAUAGUACCAACUUUCCCUUGGUCCUCAUGCUUUGAAACAACAGCCUGUCCAAUUUAUUCAAGAUUUUCUACUUUGACAUGGUCUACAUUUAGGAUGAAAUUAUUGAAUCUGAACCAAGGUGGGAAUAUACCAGUUAAGUAGACAAAUUUUAUGCCUACCGCGAUUCUCAUUGCCUUAUUCAGUUUCUUAUGGCAUUGCUGACGAGUUUGAAUAUACUCAAACCUCCAUCCUUAAUAGAAAGCUACUGCCUUCCCUUGAUACUGCUCUCUAAGUACUUGAUGUCUGAAGAGACUUGCUGGCAUGUGAGAACCCUUACUUAGAAAUAUAAAUUCUCCAAAAUUACUUGCAUUGCCCUAAGACUAAAUAAAUUAAAACAUUUCCUUGCAUUGCAUUCUACAUAAAUUGUAACAUCUCCUUGAAGUGGUAUCAUUUUAUUUCACUAUAUGUAUUAGGACAAAAUACCUUUGAAUUGUGUUUGAGACUUUAUGCGAUAGCUUAAGGGUGUUAAUUAGACAUUUAAAAACAUUUGGAGGAAAGAAACAUGAUUUGACAAGUUUAAAGGAAGAAUGGCCAAGAUUGAGACAAGUGGCAAUGCCCUAACCAUUCAACUUAUUUGACCAAGGAAAUUAGAAGAAUUUAAACGUUGUUGACUCCAUUUUUUCCUCCAUAUGACCGGCCCUCUCAAGCUUCCAAGAGAAGAAGAAAAACUCCAUUUUCUUGCUUGAAAACCCUAACUUAAACUUUGAGCAAAAACCAAAAGAGAAGGAACCCUAGUUAGUUGAGUGAAUUAUCUUCGAGGCUUGUGUGUGAUUCAAGCUUGGAGCUCUUGUUUGGAGGACUUUUUGGUGAUUCAAGCUUCACUUAAGAAAGGUAAAUGAUUCUUAAAUCUUAGCUUUAUUGUGUUAUAUCAAGAGUUUGAAGUUUUGAACACAACUAGAAGUUGAGUUGAUGUUAGUUGUGGUUAAACUCCUUGAGUUCAACCAGUGGAAGUAGGGUUGAUUGUAUGGCAUGCCAUGUGUUUGAUAUUUUAUCUAAACUUUGUUUAUGAUUUUCCUUGAUGUAUUAACAUGUUAUAGACCCUCUUAAGGUUAGAGAUAACUCUUGGAAUAUUGGUUAAGUUAACAAUAAUGAAAGAAUGGAGGUUGGAGUUGAAUGUGAACUUGGGGAUUGUUUUCUUUCUCUUUGUUGUCCAGCCAUGGAGUGGAGGUUUUCCUUGAUUUUUGUGACUUAUUGAACCUUAAUUAAGCUUAAAAAAUCUUGGUUAAACAUUGGUCUAAGUUUAUGUGUGAGUUGAGGUGAAAUGGAGCAAGUAAAGUAGUUAUUUUGGAUAAGAUAGCGGACUGUUUUGGUUCUUCCUUGUUGGCUGGAUUGUCUUGGUUCAUUUUCUCAUUUUGUGUGUUGAAUUUAAAGCUUAAAUGGUGCUAUUUAACUUGACCCCUGUAUUAUGAAUUUUAAGGGAUUGAAUUGGAUGAAUUUGAGCCAAAAUAAAUGAGGUUAGAAAGGAAGAAUGGGGUAAUUUUUGUCAAUGUAUUGAGCUGAGCAAAAUAGAAAAAUUAGUCAUUUUCCCCAGACUAUUGGUACUGAUAGGAGAGGAACUAGAGUUUGUAUUUUAUACCGUUGGAAAGCUCUUCAAGUCUAGUUUCCAACGCCGCAAAUGGCACUUGAUUCCGACUUUUUUACAGUGAGAUAUGGCCGUUUUCCUGAGACUGCACAUGUGUGACUGUUUACUGCGAAAACACUUUUGAACUUGAAUAAGACUUUUCUUUUGCUCAACUUUCUUGUACUUGUCAAACUGCUUUUCUUAUGACCUUUUCUUACAUUUCUGGCCUAACUUGCAUGGUAAAUUGAGUCGAUUAACAACCCACUUGGUCACCUAAUGAACUUAUGUUUGGGUUAGAAAAUGAAUCUAGAUUGUUAACGAUUUUAUUCGUUGCCCUAGGAUUGGGAAACGGAGGUGAACGUAACCAAGGAACUUGACGAAUAAACUCUGCAUUUCUUAACAGGUGAGUGUUCCACUACCUGUUCCCUGUCUAUGUGAGAUAUCUGAAUACUUAAUUUAAGAUGUUUGAUAUAAAUAUUUGAUUUGACAAAUUUGAGGCGAGCGUGUACUUUAUCACACUCGACCUCCUUCGAUUCCACUGAGGCUUUGUAUACUAAUAUUUUAAGAUGUGAUUUAUCUAUAUUUGAUUGUAUGUGUAUCGUUUGGGUGAUAUCCCAUCAACUACUGUGACUGUUUGGGUACCCAAUCUCAUAGGUGAAUCGGUUGUAUUGAGCUAGCAAGGGCUUGGUCGAGAAGGCCGAUAAACCCUGAGAACUGUUUACUAAAAUCUGGAAACUGGUAUACUUGAGUAUUACCUAAUUAUUCUGUUUGACGUAUUCGAUUCUGGUAAGGGGGUUGACUGGUGGACGAAAAUUGGAGUAAGUGGUGUUCUACGGAUAUUACAUCCUUGGAUGCAAAUGUUGACGGAGAGUCAACGGAUUUUCGAUACGAUCAAACUUAAGUGCAUUUCGCUUUUGGAAGCCACCCGUAUCCUUGAAUUGAAUUGUGAUUAACUUGUUCUAGUAUUGUAUUGUGUUCACUUGUUUAUAUUACGUCUCUAAUUGGUUAUGUGUUUACAUGUUUAUUUGAAAUCUCACUGAACUUCAGUUCACCUCACUUCUUUUAUUUUCCUUAGCAAAUCUGGGAUGGAACUGUGGUCAAGAACUUUCAUAACCUUAACUCUUAUCUUGAAAUUGUACUUUGGAUUGUAACCUUUUGUUUAGAAGAUUUUAAUUUUGACUUUUGUAAGCGUGAAUUUGUAAGUUUGCCGCAUACUAUAUAAAUUGAGUUUGGAGUUAUAAGUUUGACUUUUAAUUUUAUAUUCUAAGUUUGGGAAGCUAGCGUGGCGAUUAUAUUUUCAUUAUGGUUUGUACCCUUUACUUCGAAGAUAUUCCGUUAGUUUUCUUGGGUUGCUAGUUCAUUAUUCGACUGAGUCUCGGUAAGAGUUGGACAAGUAGUUCGCUAAUCCUUAGGGUUCGCCCUGAGGAGAAGUGGAGUUGUCACAUGGCAUACAUCUACUCCACGCUUUUACUGAUAUGGUUCUCGCUUCCUCUCGUCAGGCGAGCUCGACAUCCCGAUCUCCUGCACCUUCCUCUUCAACCUCAACAAAUAAGUCAACUAUUGAAUGCAAGUAUUAUCAUCGCUUAGGUCAUACUAUUGUUAAGUGUAACAAACUCUAGUGCAAAAAAGGAAUAUCAAGGACAGCGUCUCUAGAAUUCUACUUCUCGCAUUGUUGUUGCUCCUGAUGUCACCAACUCACUUCCCGAGUAUACUCUGUUGUUUCCAUUAAUGUUUUUGAAAAUCGGAUCGGACCGGCCGGUUCGAUCGGUUGAACUGCAAACCGGCCAUGGCACCAGUCCGAUUCAAUGCCAUAGUUGACUUUGUCAGAAAACCGGUCAAGAACCGAUCGAACCGUAAAAACCGCGAUUGAACUGCUAUUGAACCGGUUUUCAACCUUCCUCUUUUUUUUUUUUUUUUUUUUUUUUUUGCAAAAUGCAGCUAUCAAGAUUCGAACUCAAAACCUUUGUAAUAGAAGACCAAUGUAUUAACCGUUGCACUAUCACAUCUUAUUAGUUUUUUUUGAUAACUUAUUUAUAUAAAGCAAACACUCAUAUUUCUUUUUUUCAUUUUUUUUACAAAAUCUCAUCCUCUCAUGGUUCUUUCUUUUUAAUUUUCAACUCUCUCUCUCUCUCUAUCCUCUUUUUUUUUGUCACUCCCUUUUUAAUCAAACCUCUUUAUUUUUAAUUUAUUGAUGUUUUCUUCCAUCUUUUAAUUUUGUUUUUGUCCAUUAAAUUGAAAAAAGUUAAAAAUGAAUUAUUUUUUUAACCCAAAUUAUUUAAUGCUACAACCAUUCACUUUUAUCUCAUUUUUUGUUUCUUAUCAAGUUUACAUUUCUAUUUUCGAUUUUCUUGACUUCGUUCGAACUCCAAACUUCCUUUUUUAAAUUGCAAUCUCUAAAACGUAAAUUAAAAUUUAAGUUCACAAUAUCUAAAUUCUCAUAGACGUGAAUUUUGUAUAAUUUCAAAAUAUUGUGAUAUUUUUGGGUUGGAUUUAGAUAUAAUUGAAAUUGAGAUGAAAUUUAUUUGUUUUAACUUAUAAUUUAAAAAAUUUAUUUUUAAAAAAUCCAAGUUAUUAAAAAAUAGUAAACCUUUCAUCAUAUAAAGUAUUAAAUUAAUCCAUUACAUGUCUUAUUUUGUACAUAUGAAUAUUUAUAUAAAUAAUUUUUUAAAAAAUUCAUUGAACCGAGAUUGAAUCGGUUCGACCGAUUGAACCUCGACCCUUUCACUUCACCGGUUCAAUUAACGGUUCGAUUUUUAAAACAUUAGUUUCCAAUGCUGGGCAUUCAUCUCUUGCUACCCUCAGGCCAUUGUUUUUUUAAGUCUUUGCUUGCAUUCCUCAAUCUUCUACUAAUACUUUUUCUGUCACAUCAAGUGUCUCUUUACGGAUUAUUGAUUCAAGAAAUUGGUAAUAAUAUGAUAUAUAACUCAUUGUCGAUAUAUGUAAAAUUUACUCUAAAGAAUUAAUUUUUUUAUACCAAUUUUAUCGAUUUUCGAUCAAACCUGAUAUUUGGUUGAAUCUUUGACAGACGGGUUUUUACCCAUACUUGAACCGAAAAUCUGACCAAAUGUCGGUUCAAUCAGUCAGACUGGCAAGCACUGUCGGAGUUUAAAAACAUCACUAUGUAACUGAUCACGUUGAAUUGCUAAAUUUUCCAAUUGUGAGAUGCAACUUUUUAUUCGAAAUGACUGGCAAGACAAAUGACGCAAAGUGAACCACCGACUGUUAUUCAAUCCAUGUCAGUACCUAUAACGCCAAUAAUUGAUUGUCCCCACGGUCAUCAUAGGCUGGAUGCGUAUUUUUCAUGACAAGGUCAAUUUCAUUGCAAUUGAUAAAUAGAACAGAUAUGGAACCUGCGAGUAGGGUACACGGCAUUUAAGAUGAUGUCCUUGCAACACUUUUUAUCUCUCCUUGUUUGAGUAGAUCAUAUGAUAUUUGGUGUUGUUUUUCUUUCAAUAUAAUAUUUGUUGUGGGGAUUUUAUCAAACGAUAAGCAUGAUGCCUUGCACCUUUUAGUAGCUUUCUUUGUUUUUUUCUUUUCAAGAUUUGGGUAUUGGGUAAUUUUGAGAUGUACUAGAGUUCCAAAGCUUAUCCAAUGCAAAUUUGAAAAUUUCAUUUCCGUUUUUAAUUUACCAGUACUUAUUAGCUUCGGAUCAUAGGCAUAAUUAGUUUGUCAUAUCCUAAUUAACUGAUUGCCUCACUAUUCAAGGUUAAUAUGCUUAUUGAAACACUACUCUUUUUUUUUUUUUUUUUUUUAAGACCCCAUGGAGGGUUGUGGUCCCAAUCUAUUACAUUAUACAGCAUCCAAUUCGAGUAUAGUUAAGUCCAUGACAUCUAAAAUUCAAUAAUUUUCUAAACUCUUUUGGAGGUGUAUCAAAGAAUUUAAGUCUUAGGGUGCGUUUAAUAAAACUGAAAUUUGAAAGCUAAAAUCUGAAGUCCGAAUUCAUUAUUGAAUUACAUUUGACCAAUUUUUUUUUAAUAAAACAUCAUCAUAACAUUAAAUCUAUACUAAUAGCACAAAUUACAUCAAUCAUACACAAAUACAAAUAGAUCUAAAAAACAAAUACUUGAUAUUACAAAUCUAAAAAAUUAAUAGAAUAUUACACUGUAAAACUCCAAUAAUAUCAAAAGAUAAAACAUUUAUUGGCCCAAUAUCAUAUAUGCAUGCUUCCAACUGUGUUACUUAUGUUCUCCUAGAUCUGCUAAUUAACUAAUUCAAAUUCAGAUGUUAAAGUGAGAUCUAAUUAGGUAGAUCUAAAAGAUUUUAGAUUCGACAACCAAAUAUGAGAAAACUUAGAUCUAAUACAAAAAAUAAGAAAGAACUACAAAAGCUGUCAGUAGAAAUCUCUAUGAGAGGAGAAAACAUCACUAAAAAUUCUUAAGAGAGAAUAAACUCUCACUAGGAAACUCCAUGAGAGGAGAAUAACAUCUUUUGCUACUAGAAUAACAUUUCCCUCAAUUUGAUGAGUACAAGAGUUUCACAUACUAUCCUCAUCCACCAAGCUUCACAAACAAACUGAAAAUAGUAGAACACAAAUGCAUCCAUACAAUGGUGAAGUACUUUUAAAUUCGACAUUGCAGGACAAGGUAUGUGAACGCCUAGGAUGAAAUAUGCAAAAAGAUUCUUGAAGACCACAGGCUACGAGUCUUGAUUAGGCACUUCUCUGCUGUAAAAUUUUCCCACUACUCUGGAGUCCAGAAUUUCAAUGGCUUUCUCAGACUUUAUGUUCUUAGGUGUCUUGUACUGGUUUAAAGAAGUUCCUUGAGAAACAUAAAAGUCCAUGAGCACGUUGAAUGUUCCUUGUUUCACAACUCUAAUUUCCGAAGGACCAAUGGUACUAAUGCUCUGAUUCCUCAACAACUUAUAUUUCUGGUCCAGAGAUUGUUCCACUAAACUACAGCAUUUUUCCAUAUUAACCUGAUCAAGUACAGGAAAGUCAUCAUUUGAUCUCAGUUGAAGCUCCCAAAAGAGUACAUAGUGACCAGGAAUAGAGGAUGUCUCAGCAUAGCUGCUGUAAUCCAAAAGCCCAAGUGGUUCAAGGAUAUGCAUUGCAAUUGUAACUGCAUUCUGGAGGUCUUGUUCAGUUGUUUUAUCUGUGUCAAUGCUCAAAACCACAUUUCUCCUUUGUACAAAUUUGAAUUGGGGAGUGAUAUUGUGAAAACCUGUCACCAGGAGAAUAUCCCCCAUUCUGUACCUGUAUAAACCUGAAAGUACACGCUUCUAUCAAUAUUCUAGAUAUUAGAGUGUUUAAGCAUUUAACUGUCUAAUCAUCAUUGGUUGUGUGUAUCAGGAUAAUAAAUGUACCGAAAAACAGAAUGUAAUAAACCUAUAUUCGACAAAUUUGAACAUCAGAUGUCCAAGGCAAUUGUUAAGUAGAAAUUAAUGGAACUACCAUCCAUUUUAGAACAUGAUAAAGGGUUUAAAAUGGAGACCAGUAGACACCUUCAAGAGGCACUUCUGUGUUUUAUAGAAUACUUUUUCAUGGGUCAGACUAACAGAAUUAUAGUUCAUAUUUGUGGUACACCACAGGCAGUUAGGGUCAAUUCAAAAGUACAGUAAUCUCACCUAUAAAGGCGCAACGGUCGUGACAAAAAGUUCAUAAUGCUGGCCUAUCUUAACAUUAGCAAGAUCCACAAUGUGAUCUUCCAAAUGAGCAUCUUUCCUGAUGGUGCAGUUUGGAUCUUGAUGAUUGUCAAUUGGUAAGAACUCAUGGUAGGCCAUGUUUGGUAUAAAAAUAUACGAGACAUCAUAAGGACUGCACAAAGGUUUCAUGUUAAUCCCAAAAACUGCCUCUGAAGAACCAUAAACUGGUGAAACUACAGGUAACCCACCCGUAUAGACCUCAAGCGCAGGGAUAUAUUGUGCCAUGGACCCUGUAAUAAUGGCCAUGACAUACUUGGUCCUUGGCCAGAUCUUCUUAAUUAUCCCUUCCCAAGACUUUUCUUGGCAUACAAGAUCAAUUGAAUCAGCCAAGUCCGGCAUUUGUUUGCUCAAAAUCAAGGAGACAGCCCUUUUGCAGUUAGGGUCAGUGAUCCAAUCACUCAUUUGCCCAGUUCUUAUGUUCGAAGACAUUUCUUGCCAAUUUUCCUUGAAAAAUUUGAUUAUCCAUAUGUCAUAUGAAGCACCUUGAAAUCCUCCAUAUGUCAUAUGGAGUGCUUUAUAGCAGCUCUUAUAGAUUACAUACUAAUGAGAGAAUGCUAGUAACGAUACUUGUAUUUGAACUUCCCUUAGAUCAGUUUCAAAUAAAAAAACUUUCCUUAGAUGAUGUGAACAAACCUUACCAAGUGAACCCAAUCUCAAAAAUACUAGUAAUACAAUAAUAUGCAAAAUUAAAAUGAAUGUUCCUCUUCAGUGCAACUAAUUGUGUCUUGACAAGCAAUUUCGUUUGUUUGGAUAGGGUAUUAUUUGAAAUGUUAUUUGGAAUAAUUACUGUAGCACUUUUUGUGAUGUGAUGUAUGUGAGAUAAAAAUGUGGUUGGAAAUAUAAAAAGGUGGGUUGGGAAAUGUGUUUAUGAUGCAAGCGAAAUAUUAUUUGGGAUAAUUUCACUAUCCAAACGAAAUCCAAUUUCAAAUUCACCACCACCAUGUGGGUCAUCAAUUGUAUGAUGCAAUUGCCUAGCAGUUUCAGAAAGUCCCUUUCCCUAGUUGACUACCAAAUGAAAUUGGAUAAAUUCUAUUUUGACCCCCUAAACUAUAUCCAAUUUCUCACUUCAGUCCCUAAACUUUAAAAUGGGACACUUAGGUCCUCAAACUACUGAAUCCGUCCCAAUUAAGUAAAAUUGUUGACAAUUGUCAGGGUUUUCUGAGCGUACAAAACAAGCGCCAUUGACCAAGGGUGGGGAUGCAAAUUCAGAGAAAAGAUAUAAAAAGAAAGAAAUUUAUUUAGCAUAAAGGAGGGAAAAGGAGGGAAACUUUCCCUCCUUUUAUUAGGCACAUUCGGGUGAUAUAAUUGAUUCGAUCCAAUUCAUAAAAGGGAAGAGAUGUGCCCUAAUACAAAAGAGAGCAAUUGGCUGAAUAUCCAAAUGAGGGGUAUGAACUAAGAGGUUGAGAGCUUUAGAAAAUCUGAAGAUAAGAAAGAAGAGAAAGGAGAGAUGGUUAGGGACACAUGCAACAGUGGAAAACAAGCAUUGAUGAUGGCAAUAUGGACAGAUUUAAACCCAAGAAGAAGGUUUUGUCGAUGUCCAAAUUACAGGAUAAUUCCAUUUCCAUUAUAUCUGUUUGUACUUCUUCCCUUAUGGUUCCGAUUUGUAUGCAAUGCAUCUAAGUAAACCUGUAUUUACUCUCUCAAUGGUGUUGUCAAUGUAGGAAACGGGGGAAUGCAGUUAUUGGGAUUGAGUGGAUCUUGAGAUGUGUCAAAGGUCCAAGGAUAUAAUCCCUGGACUAAUAAGAACAAAAAACAAAUUGAAAUCUAAGAUUGAGAGGUUGCAAGAGAACUCAAAGCUGUAGGAAGCAAAACUAAGGAGGCUAAAGAUGUACUUGUUUCUUCAUUGGGUUGUUGUUAUAUGAAUGCUUUUGUUCAAAUUUGGGCCAUAAAGGUCAUCAUUGGAGUUUGACAAGAAACAUGUCCAUCUAUGUGGGAAAAGAAGCAAUGGUGUAGUAGAAUAACAUAGUGCAACAUGCAAUGCAAUGCAUAAUGGCGCUAUGUAAUUGGGAUGGAAAAGAUGUAAUUUUUGUCUCUCUGUAUAAGCUGCGGUUCUGGUGUAAUGUAGCAUAUGCUUGAAGGAGCACUAGGUUCACUAAUUUUGGAUACAAUUUUUAGUUUAGGGGAUUAUGUGCUCUUUUGUUUGAACUUUACGGACCUAAGUGUCCCUAGCUAAUGAAGCAUUGGGAUUGAACUAUCCCUUUUUGUAUAGUUGAGGGACUGAAGUGUCCCAACUUAUUGAACUACUUUUGACAGUAAAUGAUAAACCUGUAAAUAUGUGUAACACCACCAACUGUUUGAGACAAUAGAUGCAAUUGACAAUGGACUGAAUUUGAUCAUUUAAGAAGAAGGCAUGUUUAGCCUUACACCAAAAGACCAGACGUUUCACAAAUUUACAAAACAAUAGCAAAAAUUUCUUGGCAUUUACAACAUCAGUUGCCAUUUACAAAACAUCACUCCCCAAAAUAUAAUGCGAACAAUUUAUAGCAAUAGAAAUUCACAAAAACCAGCUAAACAUAGAGCUGCAACACAUUGCCAUUUACAAAACACAGCUAUUUUCUUGUGUGAUUUAAAUUUUCUAACUUUGCAGCUUCAUUUGCAUUCCUAUAGAGCUGAACAUUGGCCAAUGCUAGUUGAAUUAUUCAUAUGACCUACUGCUGCCUGCAAUGUAGAUAGAUUUACACACAUGUUCCCCCUCCAAGUGAAGGGGGUUGGUUGAAGUCGUUUGGUGACACGACUAGUUGAACCCAGCUCUUCUGUUUGCCUAUCAUCAAUGUAUGAGUCUGGUGAUUUCAUUGUUAUCCCUGGAUUGUGUGAAUAAAGUUUUUCACCAGUAUUGGAGUUCAACUACAUGUCAGGAGAUAACAAGUAGUUAAUAAAAGAGUGAACAUAUUUGUAUCUCACACAGCAACAAAUGCAAAUUUCAAAGCACUGGCAUGUCCAGAUUCAAUUUCCUUUGAAGCUGUCUCAUAUGGGUUAAUCAGGGAAUCAGUUGCAACACUGUUGAGUCCAAGUUCUCCAGUCAUGUCCAGUGAGUUUCUAAAGAUCCAUUGCCUCAGCUUGCCACCUUUCUUUGAACGGCCAGGUUUCUUGCAAAAUGAGCAUUUUCUUGUGCCCUUGAUUGGUUGUUCUCCAUCAAUUUUUUGUUCAGUCUGAUUUUGAAGAGUAGCUGUGCAGCUCUCUUAUGUACUUAAUUGAGUGACAUUAGCAGUACUUGGACUAGUACUAGUAUGCCUUGUUUCAUUUCUGAUGGCAUCUGUUUGUUGUGUGCUGUUCCCACUAGAUUCCUUGUCCAUAUGCCCAUUUGGUCUCUUUUCUACUGUAGCAGUUUGCUAGUUUUUUUAGGGCAACUGAUAAGAACCCGCCCGGAGGUAUGAACUCAUAUCCCACGUAGCUCCCAGAUCUAGACGAAGGAAUCAAGUUGGUUUGCGAAGCAACACUCGAACACCUAACUCUAUGAAGCGAACCUUGGACUUAACCUCAACCCACAAGCACUCGAGUAAGUGGAACGAAGUUACAAGUAGAAGAACGCCACAAUCAAGGUGUGUACUUGAUUGAUAAGUUCAAUUGAAUACUCUCGAGCAAUUCUCAAGUAUUCAAAGGGGCUCUCAUAGACAAGAGAAAAGUGUAAACACUCAAAUUUCUGAAAUAUUAUUGAAUGAAUAAAACUGUUGGUGGUGUGGGCUAUUUAUAGCCUUACAUAGAGAAGAAAACCUAAAGUGAUGUGGAAUUGAUUCUAGAAAUCCUAAAGUGAUUUGUAAUCACUUAUUUCCUAAGGACUAAAGGACUUAGUUUCAGCCAAGGUGGCCUAGUGGGCCUGGCCGAACCUAUGAGGACACUUUAUCACUAAAAUAAAACAAGAUAAUGGACUAUCAAGCCCUUAUUUCAACGACUCAACUAAUGACCUCAGAAAAUGAGAUUUUAAUCUUUGGAUAGAGCUCCCAUUUCCACUUCGCUUGACUCAAGGACUUGAAUGAGAGUAUAGCGAAUUGUCUUGUCUUGCUCAAGCUCGGUUUCAAUGCGUGCAUGGUCAAUUCCCUCGUAGGUGGUGCAAACUAGUGUUUGCAUGGACUCUUUGAGCUUCUUGGCACCAGCCCUUGUCAUUGGGCCAUUGAACUCCAUUUGGUCCUUUUGGUCCUCCUUCACGGCCUCAAGGGCAGCCGCUCCUCACUCUUGCGUCAUUCCCCUCCUCUUAAAGGCGAUUUGUCCCCAAAUCAAGCUCAUCAUCUACAAGAAAAGGGCUUAAGUCAGCCACAUUAAAGGUAGCGUAGACACCGUAAUCACCUGGUAGGUCCAAUUUGUAGGCGUUAUCAUUGAUGCGUUCCACCACUUGGAAAUGACCAUCUCCUCUAGGCAAGAGUUUGUUGCGUCAUUGCAUGGGGAACCUCUCCUUGCACAUGUGAAUCCACACCCAAUCACCUGGCUCAAAAAUCAUCUUGCGACGACCUUUGUUAGCAUGACGAAUAAAUUGGAAUGUGCGCUUUUCAAUAUUAUCCCUUACCUUUUGGUGGAAGGCACGCACUUGCUCAGCCUACUUCAACCCAUCCAUCUUAGUUCGCUCAGUUAUAGGUAAAUGUGAUAAAUUCAAAGGCGUGAGAGGGUUAAAAUCAUAAACGACUUCAAAUGGGGAAUAGUGUGUGGUGCUAUGGACUGUGCGGUUACAGGCAAAUUCAACGUGUGGCAAGCAAUCUUCCCAUGACUUUAAAUUCUUUUUGAUAAGUGCACGCAACAAAGUAGAGAGUGUCCUAUUAACUACUUCAGUUUGACCAUCGGUUUGAGGGUGACUAGAAGUAGAGAAUAAGAGUUUAGUUCCUAGUUUACCCCAUAACGAUUUCCAAAAAUAACUGAGGAACUUAACAUCUCUAUCACUAACAAUGGUGCAUGGCAUUCCAUGUAGUCUAACAAUUUUCCUAAAGAACAGGAAAAGAUACCAUGUUAAAAGAUAUCAAUUUUGGAGAAAAACGUUUAUUGAAAUCAUAAUUUGUACAAUGAUAUAACGUCUAUAUUUAUAAGUUUUAUAAAAUAAAUGUAGACACUUAAACACAAUGAACCUACAUUAAUAUUAUACAAGGUAAAUAUCUUAACUAAUGAUGUAAUUGAUACUAAUUGACAUUCCUAAUCUUGCUAAUUAGUACUUAUUGUUACAACAUAAUAUUUUACAUUAACAAAAUCCUAUUUAUCUAAACAAACACGACUAAUUAUUCUUUUCGUUAUUCUUGCUUUUGCAAAGAUCAUCUACAUCAGACUCUUAAUCUUGCUAAUUAGUACUUAUUGUUACAACAUAAUAUUUUACAUUAACAAAAUCCUAUUUAUCUAAACAAACACGACUAAUUAUUCUUUUCGUUAUUCUUGCUUUUGCAAAGAUCAUCUACAUCAGACUCUUCUCCACUUUGCUUUCCCUAGGAAUGCUCCUUUGCAGCACAUAUAUUUCUUUAUUUAAUUCUUGUACGACGAAGGUGAUACUAGGAGAUGGUGUUGUUUUGUUAUCAUUUUUUUUGUUUUGUUAUCAAUUGAAAGCCACUUUUUUUGGUUUAAAGUAUCCUUCAUUUUUUUUCUUUUUUUUUGACCUUUUGGGUAUAUAUCUUUUGUGGUUUGAAGUUUAUUUUCUUAAAUUACAAUUUUGUUAUUUUUGAAGUUUCCUUUUCUUUCUUUAGUGGUUGGAAGAAAUUACAAUUUUUAAUUUUCACAACAUUACUUGUACUGUUUUUGACUUCUUAUCUUACCAAGAAAGUUUUUUGGGUACUUAAAUAGUAUUUUCCCACCGAAAAGGACACUUACAGUUAAUGGUUCCAAAGUUGUUGGAUGUUACUCUCAUUGUAAGAUGAAUUUAAAGAAAUAAUUACAUAUGUAACUCAUCUAGCGCAUAAUAAUCAUUGGUAAUGGAAAAUUUUUAGAUUUCUUUAUACAUGUUUAUAAUAAAUAAGAAAAACAAUGGACCAAUGAGUUGGCCAAUUGGACCGAUAAAACUCGGAACUAAUCACUCAGUCAAUUAUCACUCAUUUUGACUGAGUUGAAGAACAUUGCACUGAAGUUCACAUGCUGGUUUAGUCGAGUUUCAAAUGUACAAGACUAAAAUGCUGCGAAUAUACUGAUAGUGUAUGUAUUUUUACCAUUUGAUGCAUGACACAUAAUUCGAAUUUAAAUUUGAAACCUAAAUUUUGCAAAUGUGUCGUGCAUCCGAUCGUGAUAGUGCAUACAUUAUCAGUAUUUAUAAUAUUUACUCUAGUUAUAUUUACUUCCAUUAAAGUUUGAUCAAAUUACUAAAUGAGCCCUAUAACUUGACUAAAUUAGAGUCAAUUCCCUUGAAUGAGAAAAUGUUUAUCAAAUUCCCUCUAACGCUAAUUGCCAUCAGAAAUUAUGCUUGCAUGAGAACAAUAUAUGAUUAAUCCCAAAAUACCUUUUAAUAAAUUCACCUUGUUACAUUUACAGCCCUUUAAGUUUUAUCCAAUUUUAUUUACCUUUCCUGAGAUUUGUCGAACUGACAAAAUGAAACUUAAAAUUUUGUCCAAAGAGAGUCCCCUUCACUUGAAGGGGGAACAUGUGUGUAAAUCUAUCUAGCAGCAGCAAGUCAUAUAAAUAAUUCAACUAGCAUUGGCCAAUGUUCAGCUCUAUAGGAAUGCAAAUGAAGCUGCAAAAUUAGAAAAUUUAAAUCGCACAAGAAAAUAGCUGUGUUUUGUAAAUGGCAAUGUGUUGCAGCUCUAUGUUUAGCUGGUUUUUGUGAAUUUCUAUUGCUAUAAAUUGUUCACAUUAUAUUUUUGGGAGCUGAUGUUUUGUAAAUGGCAACUAAUGUUGUAAAUGCCAAGAAAUUUUUGCUAUUGUUUUGUAAAUUUGUGAAACGUCUGGUCUUUUGGUGUAAGGCUAAACAUGCCUUCUUCUUAAAUGAUCAAAUUCAGUCCAUUUUCAAUUGCAUCUAUUGUCUCAAACAGUUGGUGGUGUUACAAAUGUUUACAGGUUUAUCAUUUACUAUCAAAAGUAGUUCAAUAAGUUAGGACACUUCAGUCCCUCAACUAUACAAAAAGGGAUAGUUCAAUCCCAAUGCUUCAUUAGCUAGGGACACUUAGGUCCCUAAAGUUCAAACAAAAGAGUACAUAAUCCCCUAAACUAAAAAUUGUAUCCAAAAUUAGUGAACCUAGUGCUCCUUCAAGCAUAUGCUACAUUACAUCAGAACCGCAGCUUAUACAGAGAGACAAAAAUUACAUCUUUUCCAUCCCAAUUACAUAGCACUAUUAUGCAUUGCAUUGCAUGUUGCACUAUGUUAUUCUACGACACCAUUGCUUCUUUUCCCAUAUAGAUGGACAUGAUUCUUGUCAAACUCCAAUGAUGACCUUUAUGGCCCAGAUUUGAACAAAAGCAUCCAUAUAACAACAACAACCCAGUGAAGAAACAAGUAUAUCUUUAGCCUCCUUAGUUUUGCUUCCUACAGCUUUGAGUUCUCUUGCAACCUCUUAAUCUUAGAUUUCAAUUUGUUUUUUGUUCUUAUUAGUCUAGGGAUUAUAUCCUUGGACUUUUGACACAUCUCAGGAUCCACUCAAUCCCAAUAACUGCAUUCCCCCGUUUCCUACAUUAACAACACCAUUGAGAGAGUAAAUAUAGGUUUAUUUAAGUGCAUUGCAUACAAAUCGGAACCAUAGGGGAAGAAGUACAAACAGAUAUAAUGGAAAUGAAAUUAUCCUAUAAUUUGGACAUCGACAAAACCUUCUUCUUGGGUUUAAACCUGUCCAUGAUGCCAUCAUCAAUGCUUGUUUUCCAUUGUUGCAUGUAUCCCUAACCAUCUCUCCUUUGUCUUCUUUCUUAUCUUCAGAUUUUCUAAAGCUCUCAACCUCUUAGUUCUUACCCCUCAUUUGGAUAUUCAGCCAUUUGCUUUCUUUUUAUUAGGGCACAUCUCUUCCCUUUUAUGAAUUGGAUUGAGUCAAUUAUAUCACCCGAAUGUGCCUCCUUUUCCCUUCUUUGUGCUAAAUAAAUUUCUUUCUUUUUAUAUCUUUUCUCUGAAUUUGCAUCCCUGCUCUUGGUCAAUGGCGCUUGUUUUGCACACUCAUAAAACCCUGACGAUUUUGUGGAUUUUGUCAACAAUUUUACUUAAUUGGGACGGAUUCAGUAGUUUGAGGACCUAAGUGUCUCAUUUUAAAGUUUAGGGACUGAAGUGGAAAAUCGGAUAUAGUUUAGAGGGUUAAAAUAGAAUUUACCCAAUUUCAUUUGGUAGUCAACUAGGGAAAGGGACUUUCUGAAAUUGCUAGGCAAUUGCAUCAUACAAUUGAUGACCCACAUAGUGAAAUUAUCCCAAAUAAUUUUUUGCUUGCAUCAUAAACACAUUUCCCAACCCACCUUUUUAUCUCCAUACAUCACAUCACAAAAAGUGUUACAGUAAUUAUUUCAAAUAAUACCCUAUCCAAACAAACGAAUUGCUUGUCAAGACACAAUUAGUUGCACUGAAGAGGAACAUUCAUUUUAAUUUUACAUAUUAUUGUAUUACUAGUAUUUUUGAGAUUGGGUUCACUUGGUAAGGUUUGUUCACAUCAUCUAAGGAAAUUUUUUUAUUUGAAGCUGAUCUAAGGGAAGUUCAAAUACAAGUCUCGUUACUAGCUGUCUCUCAUUAGUAUGUAAUCUAUAAGAAUUGCUAUAAAGCACUCCAUAUGACAUAUGGAGGAUUUCAAGGUGCUUCACAUGACAUAUGGAGAAUUUCGAGAAGAAUUUGUCGUGCAAUUUCCUAGCAUUGUUUGUACUGAUAAAUACGUCAUUAUCCUGCUCUGAAAUUGAAAUAAGAUAAUACUUUUCUCCACCCAAACCUUAUUAUAACCAAAAAGAAAUUAAGACUACAUGCUUUUUGUGGCGUCCUAUUAGGACUUGUUUUGAUCAAACUAAUUGAAAACAAUGGUUGUAUCGAGAUUUGUUGCUCUGUUACUAACUUAGUGGAGCAACAUUGUAUUCCUACUUUAUUCUAAAGAGGGCUGAUGAACUUCAAAGUUUAUGAUGGCUAUUUAAUGGUGGAGCAAAUACAACGAAUUCAUUUAUGUUUCGACAAUUAGCGUGAAACUGUUGAUCUAUAGAAGAAAAUUAUACUGUUUUUAAUGUGAAUGAGUUAUGGAUCCAGCCUUGAUAAGUUUAAGUUAAUUAAAGUAGCCACAUACAAUGAGGCUAAAUUAUAAUUUAGCCCCUUUAUUCACAAAGUAUGCAGAUCAAACCCCAUGACUAAUAGUCAAAGCCAUGAAAUGAACUUUGGUUUAUGUCAGUAGCUGAAAAGACAAUUAUGCCAUCAGAAUUUCUAGCCUUGAUAACUUCACCCUUCUCAUGCCAUCGGAUAAAAUAGCAUUCUCCUAUUGGAGGAAAUAUGUUAUUUGAAAAAGUUAUAUGCAGGACUCCCAAGUUUUUACCCCUUGAAGUUUGGUAGCCUCAACUAAGCAUUUUGACAGGUGGUCAAAUCCAAAGGAGUAUGCUCAACUCUGUUCUCAAUGUCAUAACGACCAAUUUAUCCAUUACUAACUAUUAUACCCUGUCUGGGUAUAAUAGCAACCAAUCUGUGUACAGUUACAUCCAUAACAUCUAAAUUCAAUAAUUUUCUAAACUCGUAUGGUGGUGCAUCAAAGAAUUUAAGUUAAAAUUUAAAAACUGAAAUCUGAAGUUUGAAUUCAUUAAGUAAUUAAAUUGUUAACUACUAAAUAUGGUACAUUUGGGUGUAUUUUACAUUAUGUGAUAAGUGAAUAACUUAUCACUUAUUUUUUUAGAAUUUAUCUUUCUUACAUUGACAGUGUAUACACUAUCUUUCCUACAUUUUUUUUGGAAUUAAUCUUUCCCUCGUGCCAUUCAUGCUUCAAUUCUCUCUUCCAUUGUUUAGCUAGCCAACUGUUUAUAUGCUAAAUUAGAGUGUAGUGUGGGAUUUCCUCAGGUGCCUUGUCAUUCAGCCCCAAACUCACAUUUUAGUCUGAUUCAAUGAUCAUAUUUUUGCAACAAAUAUCCCUUGCCAUACUCAACCCAUAAAUGAUGGCCCAUAGUUCUACUACCAUGUUAUUUGUAGUUCCCAAGCUGAUACGAAACCCAUUCAUCCAGUAAGCCCCUUCAUCUCUAAUUAGUCCUCCUGCUCCAGCUUGUCCUAUACUGUUGCUUGAUGCUCCAUCCACAUUUAGUUUCACCAACCAAUUUGGGGCUUACUCCAAUUGAUAAACUUCAGCUCCUUCUGUACUGCUCUAUGAUAGUUGGUGAGAGAUUCCUGACUGAAUUCGGCUUGGGCUAUCACUAUUUAAGCAUUGAUUUUAUCUUAGUUGCAGUAAUAUAGGUUCCCAGCAUACCAGGCAAAAUAAAAAAGUUCUUGAAUCAAACACCUGCCAAUCUUCAUCUUCUAUCUCUACAAUGUCAUAUUGUUUUAAGCUCCAGUCAAGCCAUUCUUCCAGAUUUGGGUUCCUAAAUUUCUCCAUCGACUUGGUAGAUUAGUUUCUUCCAUAUUGUUGAUAUCCAGUCAUAGCCUAGCAAUCCAUAUUCAUAAUUGUUGAAUUACAUUGACCAACUUUUUUUUAUUAUAAAACAUCAUCAUAACGUUAAAUCUAUACUAAUAGCACAAAUUACAUCAAUCAUGCACAAAUACAAAUAGAUCUGAAAAACAAAUCUUGAUAUUACAAAUCUAAAAAAUUAAUAGAAUAUUACACUGUGAAACUACAAUAAUAUCAAAAGAUAAAACACUUAUUGCCCCAAUAUCAUCUAUGCAUGCUUCCAACUGUUUUGCUUUUUUCUUCCAGAUCUACUAAUUAACUGAUUUAAAUUUAUAUGUUAAAGUGAGAUCUAACGAGGUAGAUCUAAAAGAUUUCAGAUCCGACAACCAAAUAUGCAAAAACUUAGAUCUAGUACAAAAAAUAGAAAAAAAAACUACAAAAGCUAUCAUUAGAAAUUUUUAGGAGAGGAGAAAACUGUCAUUCAAAAUUCCUAAGAGAGAAUAAACUCUCACUGGGAAACUCCAUGAGAGGAGAAUAACAUCUUUUGCUACUAGAAUAACAUUACCCUCAGGGAUCUAGUGUGCUUGUUGAGGCUGAUGUAGAUGAAGAUGAUGUUUCUAGAUUUAGAAGGCUGUGUAUGUGCUUAGAACUAAUAAAGAGAGGUUUUUUAGCUGGCUGUAGAAAGUGAAUUGGGUUAGAUGGUUGCUUCCUAAAAGGUCCACAUGAUGGACAACUUUCAUUAGGAGUUGGAAUGGAUGGUGAUAACAAAAUGUUUCCAUUGGCUUUGUUAGUUGUUGGGGUAGAAAAUUAUGAUAACUUGAGUUGGUCUUUAAGAUUGCUUGUACAAGAUUUGAAAAUUUCGGACUCUAGUACUUGGUGCAUUAUGAUUGACAAACAAAAGGUAGUAUGUAUUAGCUAUAUUACCAAAUCAAAUUUUGUUGUUAUGUUAAACUAUUGAUAUUAAUGUGGCAUAUGUGAUUGUUGUGCUGUGUUGCACAAAGUCUAGUUCAAGCAGUUACGGACAAACUUCCACAAGCUGAGCAUAGCUAUUGUGUCCAACACCUUUACACCAACUUCAAGCAAAUGCACAGAGGCCUUGCUCUUAAAGAAAGGCUUUGGAGAUAUGCAAGGGCUUCAUAUAUAACUCAGCUCAAAAUAGAAAUGGAGAUGAUGAAGCAAGAAUCAAAGGAUGCAUAUGCAUGGUUGGAUGAAAAGGACCCUAAUACUUGGUCUAGGGUUCAUAUCAAGACUGGAUUAGAUUGCGAUAUAUUGGUUAAUAUUAUGUGUGAAUCUUUUAAUUCAAUUAUUUUAAAGACAGGAUCAUUGCCUAUUGUAGGCAUGUUGCAGACUAUUUACUUACAUGUGUUAAAGAGAAUGGAGAAGAAUAGAGAGACAAUGUCCAAGCAUGAAGGUUAAGCUACUUACUUACUAUUUUUUAUCACAAUUUUUAAAGUUACACUAUGUUCAAUAUCUAAUUUGCUCUUUUAUUUUUCAGGUCUCUUAUGUCCAGCAAUUUUUGACAUUCUUGAGAAGGCCAAGAAAGAGCAAUGCAUGUACAUUUGCUACUAUGCUAGCACGAUGAAGUAUCAAAUAUGUUGUCCUUUUAGUGACCAGUUUGCCGUUGAUUUGGGGAGCAAGACCUGCACUUGUAGAAAAUGGCAGCUGAGGGGAAUCCCAUGUGGCCAUGCAGUUGCUGCUAUUAAUAGGAGACGUGCCAAAUCAGAAAAAAAAUAUAGCACCCACCUACUGGAAGAGUACAUACAUGAAGAGUUAUGAACCUAUGUUGAAUCCAAUUAAUGGUCCUAAUCUGUGGGCCCAAGUAGAUUUACCACUAAUGAGGCCUCCAAAAUAUGGGAAAUCACCUGAAAGACCAAAAAAGCUGAGGAAAAAAGGACCAGAUGAAGAUAGGAACAAGCAGUUAUAUGUGAAUCCAUCUAAACCACACAAAGUCAGCAAGAUUGGCACUAAGAUGAGUUGUAGUUUGUGCAAGAAAUACGAACAUAAUAGGAGAAGUUGCCCUAAAAAAACCAGCAAACUGCUGCAGUAGAAAAGAGACCAGAUGGGCAUAUGGAUAAAGAAUCUAGUGGGAACAGCACACAUCAAACAGAUGCCAUCAGAAAUGAAACAAGGCAUACUAGUACUAGUCCAAGUACUGCUAAUGUCACUCAAUUAAGUACAUAAGAGAGCUGCACAGCUGCUCCUCAAAAUCAGAUUGAACAGAAAAUUGAUGGAGAACAACCAAUCAAGGGCACAAGAAAAUGCUCAUUUUGCAGGAAACCUGGCCAUUCGAAGAAAGGUUGUAAGUUGAGGCAAUGAAUCUUUAGAAACUCACUGGACAUGACUGGAGAACUUGUACUCAACAGUGUUGCAACUGAUUCUCUGAUUAAACCAUAUGAGACAGCUUCAAAGGAAAUUGAAUCUGGACAUGUCAGUGCUUUGAAAUUUGCAUUUGUUGCUGUGUGAGAUACAAAUAUGUUCACUCUCCUAUUAACUACUUGUUAUCUCCUGACAUGUAGUUGAACUCCAAUACUGGUGACAAACUUUAUUCACAUAAUCCAGGGAUAACAAUGAAACCACAAGACUCAUACAUUGAUGAUAGGUAGACAGAAGAGUUGGGUUCAACUAGUCGUGUCACCAGACGACUUCAACCAACCCUCUUCACUUGGAGGGGAAACAUGUGCGUAAAUCUAUCUAUAUUGCAGGCAGCAGCAGGUCAUAUGAAUAAUUCAACUAGCAUUGGCCAAUGUUCAGCUCUAUAGGAAUGCAAAUGAAGCUGCAAAAUUAGAAAAUUUAAAUCACACAAGAAAAUAGUUGUGUUUUGUAAAUGGCAAUGUGCUGCAGCUCUAUGUUUAGCUAGGUUUUGCGAAUUUCUAUUGCUAUAAAUUGUUCACUGUAUAUUUUGGGGAGCUGAUGUUUUGUAAAUGGCAACUGAUGUUGUAAACGCCAAGAAAUUUUUGCUAUUGUUUUGUAAAUUUGUGAAACGUCUGGUCUUUUGGUGUAAGGCUAAACAUGCCUUCUUCUUAAAUGAUCAAAUUCAGUCCAUUUUCAAUUGCAUCUAUUGUCUCAAACAAUUGGUGGUGUUACAAAUGUUUACAGGUUUAUCAUUUACUGUCAAAAAUAGUUCAAUAAGUUGGGACACUUCAAUCCCUCAACUAUACAAAAAGGGAUAGUUCAAUCCCAAUGCUUCAUUAGCUAGGGACACUUAGGUCCCUAAAGUUCAACAAAAGAGCACAUAAUCCCCUAAACUAAAAAUUGUAUCCAAAAUUAGUGAACCAAGUGCUCCUUCAAGCAUAUGCUACAUUACAUCAGAACCGCAGCUUAUACAGAGAGACAAAAAUUACGGGUCCGUUUGGAUCCCUUGUUUUUGGGGCUGUAUUUGAAAAACUGUUUUUCAUAUUCCAAAUGCUACGGUAAAUGUGUAUCUCCAAAAUAACUCCAAAAACACCAUAUCCAAACAUUAUAUCAAAAACAACUAUGUAUGUAUAUUUCAAUUAUGUAUAUUAUAUAUAUUAUAUUAAUAUAAAUUGAAAUAUACAAAUUGAAAAUUAUAUAUAUUAUAUAUUAUAUAAAUAUUUAUAUACAUUAAUAUUAUGCAUAAUAUUGUAUAUUAUACAUAAUACAAUAUAAUAAACAUAAUAUGUAAUAUUGUAUACAUAAAUGUGUAAAUAUUUAUACAUAAUAUAUUAUGUAUAUUAUAUUAUAAUAUAUACAUUAUUAAUGUAUAAUAUUAUUAUGUACAGUAUUGUGUAUAAUAAUGUAUAAUAAUGUUAUGUAUAAUAUUUAAUAUACAUAAUAUGUAAUAAUGUAAUAAUGCAUAUUAUGUAUGAUAUAUUAUAUUAUAUUAUAUUAUGUAUAUUAUAUUAUAUAUAUACAAUAUUAUGUAUAUUAUACAAAUUGAAAAUUAUAUAUUAUAUAUUUAUAUAUUAUAUAUUACAUGAAUAUUUAUUUAAUGAAAUAUACAAUAAAUAUUACAAAUUGAAAUAUUACAUAAACACCAUAUUUAUAAUAUUAUAAUAUUUAUAAUUAAUAUUAAUGUAUAUUAUAUAUAUUAAAUAUUUAUAUAUUUAUUUAUACAUAUUAUAAACAUUUCAUUUUAUUUAUAAAUUACUUUUAUAUAUUUAUAAUAUAUUUAUAUGAAUAUUAUACAUUAUAUAAAUUAUAUAUAAUAUAAUAUAUAUUAUAUAUUAUAUAUUAUACAUUUAUAUAAAUUUAAAUUUAUACAUAAUAUAUAUUAAUGUAUAUUUAUAAUAUACAAUUAUAUUAUGUAUUAUAUAUAGUAUAAUACAUUUAUACAUUUAUAUUAAUAUACAUAAUAUUAAUUUUACAUUUAUACAUAAUAUUAAUACAUUUGUACAUUAAUAUUAAUUAUAUUAAAACAUUUAUACAUAAUAUUAAUAUAUAUUAAUAAAAUUAUAAUUUAUACAUUUAUAUAAUAUUCAUUUGUAAUUUAUACAUUUAUAAUAAUAUACACUUAUACAUUUAUAAAUAUAUUUAUAUUAUGUAUUGUAUAUAAUAUAAUACAUUUAUAUAUUUUUAUAUAAAUACAUAUUUAUUUAUUUAUAAAUAUUUAUAAAUGUCUUAUAAAUGCAUAAAUGUAUAUUUAUAUAAAAAUAUAAAAAUUAUAAAUUAUAAUUUAUACAUUUAUAAUUUAUACAUUUACAAUAAUAUACACUUAUACAUUUAUUAAUGUAUUUAUAUUAUGUAUUAUAUAUAAUAUAAUAAAUAUAUAAUACAUUUAUAUAUUUUUAUAUAAAUAUACAAAUAUAUUUAUUUAUAAAUAUUUAUAAAUGUAUUAUAAAUGCAUAAAUAUAUAUUUAUACAAAAAUAUAAAAAUUAUAAUUUAUACAUUUAUAUAAUAUUCAUUUAUAAUUUUUACAUUUAUAAUAAUAUACACCUAUACAUUUAUAAAUAUAUUUAUAUUAUGUAUUAUAUAUAAUAUAAUACAUUUAUUUAUACAUUUAUAUACUUUUUAGCAAAUAAAUAAAUACAUUUAUUUAUAAAUAUUUAUAAAUGUAUUAUAAAUGCAUAAAUGUAUAUAAAAAUUAUAAAUUAUAAAAAUACCCAAAAAUAUGUUUUAAAAAUACCUCUAAAAAUAAUCAAAAAAAUCUAUAGUAAAAGUUUUUCAUAUAAUUUUUGAAAAAUAACACCAAAAACAACUAAUCUAAAUGGACUUGUAUUUCAAAAACGAAAUGCUACAGUGCUGUUUUUGAAAAAUAACUCCAAAAACAGCUAAUCCAAACGGAGCCUCAUCUUUUCCAUCCCAAUUACAUAGCACCAUCAUGCAUUGCAUUGCAUGUUGCACUAUGUUAUUCUACUACACCAUUGCUUCUUUUCCCAUAUAGAUGGACAUGAUUCUUGUCAAACUCCAAUGAUGACCUUUAUGGCCCAGAUUUGAACAAAAGCAUCCAUAUAACAACAACAACCCAGUGAAGAAACAAGUACAUCUUUAGCUUCCUGCAGUUUUGAGUUCUCUUGCAACCUCUCAAUCUUAGAUUUCAAUUUGUUUUUUGUUCUUAUUAGUCCAGGGAUUAUAUCCUUGGACCUUUGACACAUCUCAGGAUCCACCCAAUUCCAAUAACUGCAUUCCCCCGUUUCCUACAUUAACAACACCAUUGAGAGAGUAAAUACAGGUUUACUUAGGUGUAUUGCAUACAAAUCGGAACCAUAGGAGAAGAAGUACAAACAGAUAUAAUGGAAAUGGAAUUAUCCUGUAAUUUGGACAUCGACAAAACCUUCUUCUUGGGUUUAAAUAUGUCCAUGAUGCCAUCAUCAAUGCUUGUUUUCCAUUGUUGCAUGUGUCCCUAACCAUCUCUCCUUUGUCUUCUUUUCUUAUCUUCAGGUUUUCUAAAGCUCUCAACCUCUUAGUUCUUACCCCUCAUUUGGAUAUUCAGCCAAUUGCUUUCUUUUUUAUUAGGGCACAUCUCUUCCCUUUUAUGUAUUGGAUUGAGUCAAUUAUAUCACCCAAAUGUGCCUGAUAAAAGGAGGGAAAGUUUCCCUCCUUUUCGCUCCUUUGUGCUAAAUAAAUUUCUUUCUUUUUAUACAUUUUCUUGGAAUUUACAUCCCUACCCUUGGUCAAUGGCGCUUGUUUUGCACGCUCAGAUAACCCUGACGAUUUUGUGGAUUUUGUCAACAAUUUUACUUAAUUGGGACGGAUUCAGUAGUUUGAGGAUCUAAGUGUCCCAUUUUAAAGUUUAGGGACUGAAAUGGAAAAUCGGAUAUAGUUUAGGGGGUCAAAAUAGAAUUUACCCAAUUUCAUUUGGUAGUCAACUAAGGAAAGGGACUUUCUGAAAUUGCUAGGCAAUUGCAUCAUACAAUUGAUGACCCACAUGGUGGUGGUGAAUUUGAAAUUGGAUACAUUGCUUGUCAAGACACAAUUAGUUGCACUGAAGAGGAACAUUCAUUUUAAUUUGCAUAUUAUUGUAUUACUAGUAUUUUUGAGAUUGGGUUCACUUGGUAAGGUUUGUUCAUAUCAUCUAAGGAAAGUUUUUUUAUUUGAAGCUGAUCUAAGGGAAGUUCAAAUACAAGUCUCGUUACUAGCAGUCUCUCAUUAGUAAGUAAUCUAUAAGAACUGUUAUAAGGCACUCCAUAUGACAUAUGGAGGGUUUCAAGGUGCUUCAUAUGACAUAUGGAGAAUUUCGAGAAGAAUUUGUCGUGCAAUUUCCUAGCAUUGUUUGUACUGAUAAAUACGUCAUUAUCCUGCUCUGAAUUGAAAUAAGAUAAUACUUUUCUCCACCCAAACCUUGUUAUAACCAAAAAGAAAUUAAGACUACAUGCUUUUUGUGGCGUCCUAUUAGCACUUGUUUUGAUCAAACUAGUUGAAAACAAUGGUUGUGUCUAGAUUUGUUGCUCUGCUACUAACUUAGUGGAGCAACAUUGUAUUCCUAAUUUAUUCUGAAGAGGCUGAUGAACUUCAAAGUUUAUGAUGGCUAGUUAAUGGUGGAGCAAAUACAACGAAUUCAUUUAUGUUUCGACAAUUAGUGUGAAACUGCUGAUCUAUAGAAGAAAGUUAUACUGUUUUUAAUGUGAAUGAGUUAUGGAUCCAGCCUUGAUAAGUUUAAGUUAAUAAAAGUAGCCCCACAUGGGCCAACUACAUCAUACAAUUGAUGCCCCACAUGGUGGUAGUGAAUUUGAAAUUGGAUUAAUAAAAUUGAUUGUCAAGCCACAAUUAGUUGCACUGAAGAGAAACAUUCAUUUUGAUUUUGCAUAUUGUUGUAUUACUGGUAUUUAUGAGAGUGGAUUUAGUUGGUAAGGUUUGUUCACAUUAUCUAAUGAAAUUUUAAAUACAAGUGUCGUUACCAGUAAUCUCUCAUUAGUAAACAAUUUAUAAGAACCACUACAAGACACUUCGUAUUAGGGAUGCAAACCUCAAAGUUUGCAACAUUGUAUUCCUACUCUAUUCCUAAGAGUUUGAUGAACCUCAAAGUUUAUGAUGGCUAGUUGACGGUGGAAUAAACAAAACAAAUUAAUAUAUGUCUCGACAACUAACUUGAUUUAUAGAAGAAAGUUGUAGUGUUUUUAAUGUGAAUGAGUUAUGGAUCACGGCUUGAUAAGUUUAGGUUAAUUAAAGUAGCCACACGCAAUCAGGCUCAAUUAUAAUUUAGCCCCUUUAUUCACCAAAUGUGCAGGUCAAACCCCAUGACUAAUAGUCAAAGCCAUGAAAUGAACUUUGGUUCAUGUCAGUAGCUGAAAAGACAAUUAUGCCAUCAGAAUUUCUAGCCUUGAUAAGUUCACCCUUCUCAUGCCAUUGGAUAAAAAUAGCAUUCUCCUAUUGGAGGAAAUAUGUCAUUUGAAAAAGUUAUAUGCAGGACUCCCAAGUUUUUACCCCUUGAAGUUUGCUAGUCUCAACUAAGCAUUUUAACAGGUGGUCAAAUCCAAAGGAGUAUGCUCAACUCUGUUCUCAAUGUCAUAACGACCAAUUUACCCAUUACUGCCUAUUAUACCCUGUCUGCGUAUAAUAGCAACCAAUCUAGGUACAAUUACAUCCAUAACAUCUAAAUUCAAUAAUUUUCUAAACUCGCCUGGUGGUGUGUCAAAGAAUUUAAGUUAAAAUUUAAAAACUGAAAUCUGAAGUUUGAAUUCAUUAAGUAAUUAAAUUGUUAACUACUAAAUAUGAUACAUUUGGAUGUAUUUUACAUUAUGUGAUAAGUGAAUAACUUAUCACUUAUUUUUUUAGAAUUAACCUUUCCUACACUAACAGUGUAUACACUAUCAGUUUUGGAUGAAUGACAACUAUGUAAAAUCUGAAUUUGAAUCCAACUUUUGCACAUGUGUCAUAAAUCUAACGGUGAUAGUGUAUACACUGUCAGUGUAUAAAAAAUUUACCCUUUUUUUAGAGUGUGUUUUGACUAGAAAAUUUAGUGCCAUUUAAUUAAUCCAAAUGUUCUAUUUUUUAUUAUCAAAUGCAUCCGAAUAUAUUACGAUCUGAAUUCGUUAAAUUUAAGUGUUAAAUUGGAUUAUCAAAUGGAGAUUUAGUUUUGCUAAAUAAUCCGUGCACUUGUUACCCUCGUGCCAUUCAUGCUUCAAUUCUCACUUCCAUUGUUUAGCUAGCCAACUGUUUAAGUGCUAAUUUAGAGUGUAGUGUGGGAUUUCCUCAGGUGCCUUGUCAUUCAGUCCCAAACUCACGUUUUAGUCUGAUUCAAUGAUCAUAUUUCUGCAACAAAUAUCCACUUGCCAUACUCAACCCAUAAAUGAUGGCCCAUAGUUCUACUACCAUGUUCUUUGUAGUUGCCAAGCUGACUCCAGUAAGCCCCUUCAUCUCUAUUUAGUCCUCUUGCUCCAGCUUGUCCCAAACUGUUGCUUGAUGCUUCAUCCACAUUUAGUUUCACCCAUCCAAUUUGGGGCUUAUUCCAAUUGAUAAACUUCAGCUCCUUCUGUACUGCUCUAUGAUAGUUGGUGAGAGAUUCCUGACUGAAUUCGGCUUGGGCUAUCACUGUUUGAGCAUUGAUUUUAUCUUUAGUUGCAGUAAUAUAGGUUCCAGCAUACCAGGCAAAAUAAAAAAGUUCUUGAAUCAAACUCUUGCCAAUCUUCAUCUUCUAUCUCUACAGUGUCAUGUUGUUUUAAGCUCCAGUCAAGCCAUUCUUCCAGAUUUGGGUUCCUAAAUUUCCCCAUCUACUUGGUAGAUUAGUUUCUUCCCUAUUGUUGAUAUCCAGUCAUAGCCCAGCAAUCCAUAUUCAUAAUUAUUGAAUUACAUUUGACCAACUUUUUUUUUUAUUAUAAAACAUCAUCAUAACAUUAAAUCUAUACUAAUAGCACAAAUUACAUCAAUCAUGCACAAAUACAAAUAGAUCUGAAAAACAAAUCUUGAUAUUACAAAUCUAAAAAAUUAAUAGAAUAUUACACUGUGAAACUACAAUAAUAUCAAAAGAUAAAACACUUAUUGCCCCAAUAUCAUCUAUGCAUGCUUCCAACUGUGUUGCUUCUUUUCUCCCAGAUCUGCUAAUUAACUGAUUUAAAUUUAGAUGUUAAAGUGAGAUCUAACGAGGUAGAUCUAAAAGAUUUCAGAUCCGACAACCAAAUAUGCAAAAACUUAGAUCUAGUACAAAAAAUAGAAAAAAAAACUACAAAAGCUAUCAUUAGAAAUUUCUAGGAGAGGAGAAAACUGUCAUUCAAAAUUCCUAAGAGAGAAUAAACUCUCACUGGGAAACUCCAUGAGAGGAGAAUAACAUCUUUUGCUACUAGAAUAACAUUACCCUCAAUUUGAUGAGUAAAAGAGUUUCAGAUACUAUCCUCAUCCACCAAGCUUCACAAACAAACUGAAAAAUAGUAGAACACAAAUGCAUCCAUACAAUGGUGAAGUACUUUUAAAUUCGACAUUGCAAGACAAGGAAUGUGAACGCCUAGGAUGAAAUAUGCAAAAAGAUUCUUGAAGACCACAGGCUACGAGUCUUGAUUAGGCACUUCUCUGCUGUAAAAUUUUCCCACUACUCUGGAGUCCAGAAUUACAAUGGCUUUCUCAGACUUUAUGUUCUUAGGUGUCUUGUACUGGUUUAAAGAAGUUCCUUGGGAAACAUAAAAGUCCAUGAGCACGUUGAAUGUUCCUUGUUUCACAACUCUAAUUUCCAAUGGACCAAUGGCACUGAUGCUCUGAUUCCUCAGCCACUUAUAUUUCUGGUCCAGAGAUUGUUCCACUAAACUACAACAUUUUUCCAUUUUAACCUGAUCAAGUUCAGGUGUAUCAUCGUUUGGUCUGAGUUGAAGCUCCCAAAAGAGUACAUAGUGACCAGGAAUAGAAGAUGUAUCAGCAUAGCUACUGUAAUCCAAAAGAAAGAAGCCAAGUGGUUGAAGGAUCUGCAUUGCUAUUGCAACUGCUUUUUGGAGGUCUUGUUCAGUUGUUUUAUCUGUGUGAAUACUCAAAACCACAUUUGUCCUUUGUACAAAUUUGAAUUGGGGAGUGGAAUUGUGAAAACCUGUCACCAGGAGAAUAUCCUCCAUUCUGUACCUGUACAAACCUGAAAAUACAUUCUUCCAUCAAUAUUCUAGACAUUAGAGCAUUUAAGCAUUUAAACUGUCUAAUAAUCAUUGGUUGUGUAUCAGGAUAAUAAAUGUACAGAAAAACCAGAAUGUAAUAAACCUAUAUUCGACAAAUUUGAACAUCAGAACAAGUUGUGCACAUUAGAUGUCCAAGGCAAUUGUUAAGUAGAAAUUAAUGGAACUACUAUCCAUUUUAGAACAUGAUAAAGCGUUUAAAAUGGAGACCAGUAGACACCUUGAAGAGGCACUUCUGUGUUUUAUCGAAUACUUUUUCAUGGGUCAGACUAACAGAAUUAUAGUUCACAUCUGUGGCACACCACAGGCAGUUAGGGUCGAUUCAAAAGUACAGUGAUCUCACCUGUAAAGGUCGUGACAAGAAGUUCGUAAUGUUGGCCAAUCUUAACAUUAGCAAGAUCCACAAUGUGAUCUUUCAAAUGAGCAUCUUUCCUGUUGGUGCAGUUUGGAUCUUGAUGAUUGUCAAUUGGUAAGAACUCAUAGUAGGCCAUGUUUGGUAUAAAAGUAUACGAGACAUCAUAAGGACUGCACAAGGGUUUCAUGUUUAUCCCAAAAAAUGCCUCUGAAGAACCAUAAAGUGAUGAAACUACAGGUAACCCACCCGUAUAGAACUCAAGUGCAGGGAUAUAUUGUGCCAUGGACCCUGUAAUAGUGGCCAGGACAUACUUGGUCCUUGGCCAGAUCUUCUUAAUUAUCCCUUCCCAAGACUUUUCUUGGCAUACAAGAUCAAUUGAAUCAGCCAAAUCCGGCAUUUGUUUGCUCAAAAUCAAGGAGACAGCCCUUUUGCAGUUAGGGUCAGUGAUCCAAGCACUUAUUUGUCCAGUUCUUAUGUUGGAAGACAUUUCUUGCCAAUGUUCCUCAAAAAAUUUGAUUAUCCUUAACAAACCCGAGGCGAAAAAAGUACCAACGCUUACUAUCGCAUCUCGCUGCACAAGGCCACAAAGUAAUUGACUAUACAAGCUCUGAUUGGUAUCUUCACACAAUAUAAACUGAGGAUAUCUGUCUUUUCUAUUCUUUAUCUCGCUUUCUGAGGCUGUUCUUAAAACUAAGCCACCAGGAGUGUGGAUAUCCGGGUUGAUAAGGACAAAUAACAGCGCUUUCCCAUCGCUCAAGCCCUGUAGGUACCUUAGUUCAAAGCUAUACGUUUAGCACUUUUUGUUUGACUCUUAUAAUUCUACUGAAGAAAUAACAACUGUAUAUUCAUUGCAUUAGACUUUACCUGUUUAAAACAGUAUCACGGAGACAACAAAUAAAGGCCCUGCGCUCUCCCUCUUCAGCAGUUUUUGGAAUCCACUUUUGCUUCCCACCUGAAGUGCCCGAGCUGCCAACGAAGUUAAUGAUUUCAGUUAAGAAAAACAAGAAAUUCAUGAAAAAGAACAGAAAUGACUCGUGCUUCAGCAUUAUUGAUCUCACUCCAUUCAGGAGUUUCCUUUCAUCUAAUUAGAACAAAACAAAGAAACUGAAUUUACCUUUUGAGUAGCUCAGUAAUGGAUUCAUUAGUUAAAAUCCGAGAUGGCUCUCCAUCCAGUGCAAUUCGAUCGAUGUAAAUCUUGAUAUCUUCAUAAUCUACCACAGGAACUUUAUUCUUGAAUAGUCCCUUAUCAGAGUGACCAUUAAGAAAACCCUUCAAGUAAUCAGUGCUUGCAUUUUUAGUUAAAAUCUCCUCCAGGACCUGUUCUUGUAUAUGACCAGCAUUGCUGGUUAUAUCCUCCAAAAUCCUCGAACCAGCUUCAGUAUCUGUUGGAUCAAAAGUUGGCAGCAUUCUGGUAAAGAAAAGAAAUGCAGAAUCUGAGCUUGGGGAUGGGAAAUAUACAGGGAAAUUAAUUAAUGAAUAAGCACGCUCAACUACAUUGUCUUGAGGAAAAGAUUCACGCCAUGGUUAAGCCCUUUUAAACCCAUUGGCCAGGUGAUCCAUCCUUUCAUCCUCAUUCCCUUCUCCAAGAUGCCUAGUUAGCGUGCCGUAUGUUACCAUUGUAAAUUUGUAAUGGUGUAAACAGAAAAACUCAUUGAGUUGCUUAGUCUCCUUAUGCUAUGCUCAUCACUUGCACAAUCCAAAAUCACCAAAUGAUCUUGAAUGUACCUUCGAUCGAGCUCUUGUGGAUCUAUAUCCAUGCUUGAGUUCAAUCAAAAUCGAAUUCAAAUCGAGUUCGAGUAAUUUGAGUUGCUAUACGAAUUGAGUUGGAUCUCCAUAUAAUAUUCCUUAUUUAGCUUAUAGAGUUUUUAUGUAUAUUUUGUCGAGCAAGCUCAAUCUCGAGCUUCAGCUUGUCCUCAUAAUUUUCUUGAGUCAAACUCAAGCAUGAACACGUGAUGUUCAUUGAACUUGAACUGGGACUCAACCAUAAAUUAAUUUUCUUUGAUCUUGAGUUCUAGUACCUCAAUAUUUGGGCUUGAUUUGGCAAAUAACACCCCUACAGAAGUGAUCCAAAAUUUAAAUGAAUGGCACAUUUCUAGUCAUAAAAGGAAGCUUAUUCGUAUGCAUCUUCCAAAAUAUGGCAAAAAUAUACUAGAUACCAGUUGUAUUCUGCAAUACAAUUAAUAGCGCAAAUUAUACUUUAUCUCCUGUUGUUUAAUACUUUUCCAUGUAACCCUUCUAUAGUUUCCAAUGCUAUGUAUAAACCCUUAUGUUUGGACUAAAGUUUCAAAAUGAUAGAAAUGGUACUCUGCAAGGGAACCAACUCAUAGGGUGGAAAAAUGAACUUACCUACUCGAUACUCAAAUCAAGGUCACUUGGUAAGAGCUCGUUUGAGUUUGGUUAGCCAACUAGUUAAGCCAAAUUUGAACAGGAUUUUAUCUCAAUAACAUUCAAAUUCAAUAAAAAAAAUUCGUUCAAACUCUGUUCAGCAAAUAAACAAGUCAAGUUUGAACAAAAUUUCAAACUUGUUAAAAUAAUCAAAAAAACUUGAAUAUUAGGGUUUUCAACUUGAUUAGAUUCGUUUACACCCCUAUCAACUAAAAUGUUGAGAUUACCAUCAUUUAGAAACUAAAAUGACUAAAAUUGCCAAAAUAUGUAAACACAGUAUGCAUGACAUUUUAGUCCCUUAUGGUUUAGUGUUUUCCACAUAACUACCUUUUGUUUUUAAAAUCUAUACAUAACAUCUGGUUAACAAAUAGUUUUCAUAUUAACAUAGGGGUAUUUUUGAUAUUUUAGUAGAUUAGGUUACCGAAUGCAAAUUCGGUCAUUUUGACAUUUUAGUCCAAAUCAUGAUGGAGUUACAUAUAGUUUUGAAAUGUAUAAAAGGUUGAUAUGGAAAAGCACUAAAUCACAUGAGACUAAAGGUAUAAUCUAUCCUAAUUAAUACAAAAGUGUUGAUUUUGGGGGUUUUCCAGUAAACGGAGUUGCCAAAUAAAACGUGUAACUAAUGUCACCAAACUUGUCAGCAUGAUAACCAUAACUCUGACAAAUACUGAACCAAAAGAACUACAUAUUAAGACAGGAUUAACAACUUGACUGUAUGAAUCUUGUUGACUUUCGACCUACAAAUGCAAAGCAUUCGAAAAAAUUGUAAAUAUGUGGCCAAGUAAGCAUACAGCAUAGGAAAAAAGAAAAACAUAUGAAUCACAUCAGAAACAACAAGAGGAAAUUAAUCAAGGAAGCCAAUAUACCUCACCUAAAAGGAACAUGAUUGCAUAUAAUCCUACUGCCCAAAUAUACCUCACCUGGAAAAAUCUUGAUUGCACUAUGAUACCACCGCAAAAUCUUGCAGAAAAUGAAGCCCUUGAGACCUAAUUUUUGUCGACUGCUACUCAGUGAUGCAGGCACUAGGGAACAGUGAAGCUGCCAAGGUUGACCAAUUAUCAGUGAUACAGGAAGUUGUUUGCGUCGGUCCCUAUUCAUCAAAAGUUGACCCGAAAUUGUACAUACAUACAGCGAGAGUUAGCAGUUUUAGUUCCCAAUGUUUUGGUCCACGUAUCAAAUUAGUCUUCAAUGUUUAGAUUAAAAGAAAUGGGAGAAUUGUAAUUUUGGUCCUUAACCUAUCACCCAUACGUAGAAUUAGUCCUUAAUCUAUUUUGCAAAGCAAAUGUAGUCCCUUUUUUUUUUUUUUUUUGUCAACACUAGGGUGUUCGGGUCAAUCAUUACGGGCCCGACUAAUCCCCUGCAGCCCGAGAGAGGAGGCUCCACUCCACACUUAGCAUGUUAACAACGGAACUCGAACCCUAGACAAACCAGGAAGGUCGCCAUACCUUAAGGAGGGGGAGCGGACCGCUCGAGCUAUCCUGUAGGAGCAGAAGACCAGCCACGUAAAGUGGCAAGUUUGUGGAAGGCAGAGGUUGAACUCCUGACCUCCAGCCCAAAGAUAGUGAUGACCACUGGACCAAAUGGCCAGUGGCAAGAUCACAAAAAUGUAGUCCCAGUCUAUCCAACUUUGCACAAAAAUAAGCAAUAAGUACAAUGGCUAACUACAAGAAUUUAAAAUCUACAUGCACAAGACAUGCAUCAAUUUGUCUAGUAGUAAUUAUAAUAAACUUAAAUUAUAAAACUAGAAUUCUCCUUUUCUUCCACUACUUUAUAUUUUAUUUAUUAUUGCUAUAUUGUCAUCCAAAUUAUAAUUUAUUUAACAAAGAUAUAUAUAGGCUACCACCAUGCUGCGUCAAUAUAAUGUGGUUUCAUGAAAUUUUAUAGAAAUUUAGGAACACAUUCAUUGUAUAUUUAAUUUAAUUCACAUAUUAUUUUAUUUUUCAAAGCUCUAAUUAUAACUACUUAAAACUCAUAGGACCGUAAUCAUCCAAACUCCAACAUUAGGGUCUAGAAACACGAAUUCAAAACUUUUGACUAACUCCAAUUUGAUAUUAACCAUUAGUUAUGAUGAUUUUCCAUUAGUUGUCCUAAAGCUGUCUUAAAUCACAAAUUUUGGGGAGUAAAUUUAUUUUGUAAAAAUAUUGGGGACUAAUUUGACAUAUAGGCUAAACAUGGGGAACCAGAACUAAUAUUUCUCCCAAAUAGAUAAUCCCUUGUGUUGUGAGAUUAUUAGAUCUUCCCUUACCUAAAAUCCCACUUGUUUUACUUUCCAUUUUAUAUAUAUAUAUUUCAUUUGGUGGCCAACUAGGGGAAGGAACUUUCUGAAAUUGCUAGGCAAUUACAUCAUACAAUUGAUGCCCCACAUGGUGGUAGUGAAUUUGAAAUUGGAUUAAUAAAAUUGAUUGUCAAGCCACAAUUAGUUGCACUGAAGAGAAACAUUCAUUUUGAUUUUGCAUAUUGUUGUAUUACUGGUAUUUAUGAGAGUGGAUUUAGUUGGUAAGGUUUGUUCACAUUAUCUAAUGAAAUUUUAAAUACAAGUGUCGUUACCAGUAAUCUCUCAUUAGUAAACAAUUUAUAAGAACCACUACAAGACACUUCGUAUUAGGGAUGCAAACCUCAAAGUUUGCAACAUUGUAUUCCUACUCUAUUCCUAAGAGUUUGAUGAACCUCAAAGUUUAUGAUGGCUAGUUGACGGUGGAGUAAACAAAACAAAUUAAUAUAUGUCUCGACAACUAACUUGAUUUAUAGAAGAAAGUUGUAGUGUUUUUAAUGUGAAUGAGUUAUGGAUCACGGCUUGAUAAGUUUAGGUUAAUUAAAGUAGCCACACGCAAUCAGGCUCAAUUAUAAUUUAGCCCCUUUAUUCACCAAAUGUGCAGGUCAAACCCCAUGACUAAUAGUCAAAGCCAUGAAAUGAACUUUGGUUCAUGUCAGUAGCUGAAAAGACAAUUAUGCCAUCAGAAUUUCUAGCCUUGAUAAGUUCACCCUUCUCAUGCCAUUGGAUAAAAAUACCAUUCUCCCAUCAAAGGAAAUAUGUCAUUUAAAAAAGUUAAAUGAUGAAGUUUUACCCUUGAAGUUUGCAACUCUUAACUUGAAAUAUAAGCAUUUUGACCGGUGGUCAAAUCUAAACAGGUAUACUCAACUCUGUUCCCAUGGUUAUAAUGACCAAUUUACCCAUUACUAACUAUUUUACCCUCAUGGUGCACAAUCUAAAAUUUUCUUCUUUGGAUUGGUGUUUUCAACCUGACGCAAUAAAUCAAGAAACAAAGAGUUGAAAAUAGCUUUUCUUUUUUCUUUGUUUUCUUUUCUUGUUUGUUUAGCACUUUAGAGACGAGAUUGAUGUAGAAGAAUGCACAGAAGUUUGGCUUUUCACCGGUUGUUGGGAUCAAUUUGUGCUUCCCUCCUGAAGUACCUGAGCUGCAAAUAUUUCUACAAGACUACUCAAAAAUCACAGUGGUAAUAAAACACAAAAAAAAAAAAAAAAAACUUUUUACUUUGAUCAAUGGAAGUAAUUUUCGUAAUCCGUAAUUUACAUUGGCAAUGUGAUUGCACUAUAUUAAAUUUCCUCGGGAUUCUGCACUUCUUGAAAUUCUCAAAUUACUAUAAUCUAUCUACCUUAUGAUUGGCUCAGUAAUGGUUUCAGCAGAUAUUAAAUUAGAUGGCUCUCCAGCAGCUAUUCGGUCAAUGAAAGGCUUGAUAUUUUUUCAUCUUAUAUUAGAUCGGCCACCUAUGAGAGUUACAACAUUAUGAGAAUCCUAUUUUUUAAUAUUUUACAUACAUUACAUUAUAAAUAAUAAUAUAUUAUUAUUUUCAAAGGUUUUUUCAAGUAAUUAUAUAACAAAACAUUCUAUAACACCUCUUGAAUAUGCUGUCAUUCAUUGCAAAAUAUUUGUACAAUUUUAUAGCACAAAUGUAGUGUAACAUCACUGAUCUGACAAAGCCUUUCUAAUACUAUCACUUUACUUGGAGCUGAGAAUUCUGUUGCCGUAAAAAGAAACAAAAUAUUCCAAUAAACUUGAAGAAAAUCAAAAUAUCACCAAGAAAAAUUGAUUAACAAAAGUUUAGUGAUUGAAAAUUGCCAACCAGGGAAAAGGAAAAUACCUCAUUACCAAAAUCUUGUUAUUUUGUCUUCUUUCUUCCUCCCUUAUCCUUAAGAGAAUAAGAUCAAUAGAUUGAUUACAGGAUAAGAAGAAUAAACCCUUCAUUAAACCAAAAGAAAGAAUAACAAAGGAAGGGAUUUAUUUAAACACACUGAAAACAAUAGACUAAAAACCUUCGAAGAACAAUAGCUUUCUUUUUUCGGAUGCCAGUCUCUUAGAGACAGUCUCUUACAAUUUUUUUCUCAUGUACUAGAUUAAGGGGUUCAAACUCAGCCUAGUGCAUUACAAAGAAGUUUCACUGCUUCCUUUGUUCAAAAAAUCUAGGGAGGGCACGUCAAAAAAAUCCAGAGAGUGCAAUAGUGCACUCCCCCUUCCCCAUAAAAUAGAAGUAGUAUAGAUUAUUGCCAUUAGACAAGCAAAAAAAAAGAGUAGGAAAAAGAAAAGCAAACAUACCUGACAUAAAAAAUUUUAUUGUACUGAGAUCCCACGGCAAAAUAAUGUAGAAAAUGUAGCUUUGGGAGGGACUUAGACCUGCUAUUUUGUCCCAAAAGGAGCUGUCUGAACCACUGAUGUGACGAGGAUGUUGGUUUUAAUCUUAUUCAAUAAAUGACGACCGGAUAAUGUCAUAAUUCCUUAUAGUAUAAAACUCUUAUUCGACUUUUUUAUCCUACAGGUUUUAACAUCUGCACCAAGAAAACGAAUGGUUGUUAGCAAUAAUUAUUCUGAACGAUGUAAUAUUUGUUGAACAAGGUAUAAUUCUAGAUGAAUUACUUGUAAAACUUAACAACAAAGACACAAUUAUUACAUAUGGGACAUGCAUGAACAAAAACAAAAUAUCAUAUCUCUGUUGUGUUGUAAGGAUGUAUAAGAAAUUUACAUAGAAUUUCAAAAUGUUCAAAAAAUAUUACAUCUACCUUCCCUGAAGGUUGAUUAAAUUAUCAAAUGAACCCUGUGAUUUGAGCAAAUUACAUUUAUACCCUUGCAAAUAAUAGCGUCUAAACCCAACAACCGGUAGUAAUGAAAUGACAAAAUUGCACCUUGCAAAAUACUACAGUUAUCGCCCUCAAAAUUUGUCCAAAUUUAGAAAAGUUCCUAUACUUUAUUAAAAAAUUGCUUUAAUGUGAUGCAAAAAAAAUGAAACCUAAAUUAAAAGAACUAAAUCAAUUACUAACGACUAAGAAAUGAGCAAAUAAAAAUAAAAUGAGAAAACAUCUUAAUUUUUCCUUUUUGUGACUGACUUAUUUCAAUUGUUACCAUACUCUUUCAACCCACUUUUUCCAUUAUACUAAUAUAUAUAUAUAUAUAUAUAUAUAUAUAUAUAUAUAAUUUGUUGUGUGAAAAUAGUAUUUAGCUACACUAUAUGAAUUUUUAUCCAUAACAUAAUACUAAAUUUUUAUCCUUAAUUCUUAAUAAGUGUCUUUUUAGGAAUUUUACUUCUGAUUUCCAAAUGGAAGCCUUUGUAUGAAAACCUUAACAUUCAGUGCUUAUUAGAGGAUGUAACGCAAUAGGUUUUCUAUUUUGGAAAAAAGAGUUUGAUUAUUUAUACAUUCACAUGAAAAAGUGUGACAGCCCCACCUUACCCUAUGGCGAACCAAAGGGUUUGGCAGACUGCCUGCCCAACUCUCACCGGGACUCAGUCAAACCUCAAUCAAUUCCGAAAUAAAACCACAAGAAUUCGUAUAACCAUAAUCCAAAACUUAAAGCAAAACUCAUAUACAUUGCUAUCUCAAAAGGGAGUACAAGCAUCGAAUAUACAAAGGUUCUCAAUUCUGCAUACAUUCAGUCCGUGCCAAGCACUAGGACGAGAACCAUUACAAAAAAUUCAAAGGCUGAACCAAGUUAGUCUAUACAGAGCUCUCAUCCUUGCUCGUCUUCCCCUGUUAAGGAAAACAAAACUAAAGGAAUGAGCUAAAAGCUCAGUGAGGUUCCGAAUACAUAAUCAAACAAUCAAUCCAAUACAUUAAACAUAGAGUAUCAAUAAUUCAAGAAACAUUUACACUAGAAAGCAAUAAUAAUACAUACAUUAAAAGGAUACGGGCUCACAGGGAGCCAUUUAUUCGUUCGUUCGUUCGUUCUCCUGUCAUUCCCCUUAUUCCUCCAAUCAUUUGAAAAUGCAUUUUUGUAAGUGAAACCCUCGUUCAUUCGUUUAUUUCAUUCACCCCCAAUUCAGCCAAAAGGCUUACAUCAUGCACAAGUAACGUUUCAAUCCUUGAAAUCAUUGAAAAUUUUACAUUUAUUUAGGUCGAGUGUGAUAAAGUACACACUCGCCUAGAAAACUCGUUUUGAAAAUUCUUGAAAGCACUUAACACAUUAUCAAACAAUAACACAAGCCAUGAAGUCAAGGAAAAUAUAGCAAACAAGGAACACUCACCUAUGUACGCAAAAUAACGUCCAAAGUGUUCUUCCGGGUAUUACCCUCAAUCACCAAGGAACCCUAAUAUAAUCAAAAGAACACAUUAUGCUUCAACUAUCAAAGAUUUAAGUGAUUCGAAGAAAAUUCGAAUACGUACUAGUACAAAAUAUAAAUAUGAUUUUGGUAGUGAAAAGAGUACAUUGAAACCAAAGAAUAUAAGUAAAAUAUUUGUAAAACUUAUGCUCACUCGUAAAACUUUAAAAUCUCCAUUUGAGUCGAAGUGACAAAGAAAACAUAUUUCUAUUAGUCGUAAAUUUCAUUUUUUUUCCAAGGGUACAAGUUCUGACUAAAUUCUAACUUAUAUACCUCGAUAAAAGAAGACACCAAUAUCCUAAAUGGUUCAAGUGGUAUUCGCUCUCAAGCCUUGCUCAAGUCGCAAGUAUAUCUACCUAGCCCUCAAGCGAAAAUUUAGGCAGCAUGCCCUUUGUAUUUACCUAUUUUCCAACCAUUUAUAGCUUCAUUGUUUUCCUCAAUCAAUCCCAAAGUCACACACAAAAUCAUCUCAUUUCAAUAGCCAUUCCAUAGGUUCAAAGUCAUACAAGUACAAAAUCAAGUUAGGAACAUGUGCGGAAAUGAAGUUUGCGUCAAGAAACAAAAGACAGUUUUGACGUUGUUUUGCGUAACGGACACAACCGAGACUACGCUUAUCGGAUUGAGGUAAAAUUUAUACCGUUUCGAAGCUAAGACAGAGAUCUACAACUUUGAUGAAGACCACUUAGUCCAGUUCAUAGUGUAUCUAGGUCAAAAUUUCGAAUUACAGAACCAGAAUCUCACAAACAGGUCAGUUAACCACACUAUGCUUAAACGACAAUAACUCAGGCUACCGAAGUCCGAUUGAGGCGUUUCCAGUGGCAUUGAAUAGCUAAGACAUAAUACUAAAACUUUUAUGUUUUGGCUAGAUACUAGUUCAGUACAUAUCAUGGUGAAAAGACACGACAAGAUUGGUGAAAUAUUCAAAACUGAGCACUGGAUUCACCUAGGGCAGUCAGGGUAUUUCGAUCUUUUCACAGUCUACCUUUCUCCGAUUGAAUUGAAAUUUUGUAGGCAAUUAUAAAACAUCAUUCUCUACAACUUUCAUGUUUUAGGCUAAGCCUAAUUCGGCCUCUAACAUGGUGAACUAGAACCGGGCAGAACUGGGUAUAGUUUAACUUCAAUUCUGGAAAUUUGCUACAAUCAAGGUAUAAAUCUCAUUUUUAGCUUGAAAUCAUCACUAUCACCUCUUAUAUCACCUUAUAUACAUCAUAUACCACCCACACAAUAAGUAUGAUAAGUGAAUCAUUCAAACCCUAACUCAAAUUCAUCACCCCCAACAAUCUAAAAUCACUUGAUAUAAGCAUUACAAACACCUUUGAACCACAAAUAAGCUAACAAUGAAUCUAGUAUUAAAAGUAAAGAGAGAUUUCUUGGCAAGAUACCUUAAAACCACAAGAAGAUAGUGGUUUAGUCUUUCCUCCUCCAAAACAACUCCACCACAACCAUCAAGCUUCCUAGUUGAGCACUUGUAUGGUGUAGUUUCAAAUUUGGUUGGCUAAAACUCAAGAUUUGAGCAAGUUUGGAAGCAAGAAAUUGAAGAGCUCUCUUGUUUCUCCCCUCAAGAGAGUCGGCCAAGAAGCAAGAAAAAUGAAGAUAUUUUGGGUCAAAUUUUGGUUUUUAGUAAAGGUGAAAAUGAGGUCAAAGUCCAACCUCCAAUGGGUUUGCAACACUUGGCCCUUCUAGUGUUUUCUCUAAUCCUUUGGCUUCCAAUGGUUACAUCAUAUAACAAAUCUCUAAUUAUCCUCUAGCACCUUGUAUAAUAAUAACACUUAGCACAAAAAUCACUUAGUCACCAAACUUAUAUCGCACUAGCGGGUCCCACAUCUAUAACGCACUUUAAAUUAAUGUACACUAACUCAUACUAGGAAAAAUGAUUUUAAAACUGUACUUGCUUGUAAAAAUGCAAAGAAAUAAAAUAAUGCUGAGAAAAUGUGAAAUUUUUUUUUUUAGGGUUCUCCCAAAAAGAAUUCUUAAUAUAGAAAAUGUAACGCUAGUAUCGUUGUAUAAUUAUAGUCCUUACAUUACAUGUAUCGGAUGAUAAAGGUAUUUAGUGAGUGUUCAUUAGGUGUAAUUGGGAAGAAUGGAAAGUGAGAAUAAAAAGUGAUUGAAAGAGUCAACACCAUCUCUCCCUUUUUGUACUUUUAUCAAAAGAGGUUUAAACAAUACAUUAUUUUUAUAUUUUUUUACACUAAUCUUUCUAACUUUACGUAUUCAUGAGGGGAUACUUGUACUAUAUUUUACGUAUUUUCAUAAUAUCACUCAGCUCCCUUGAGAUUUUUAAAAUCUCAUUUACUUCUCUUAAAUUGACAUUUAUUGUAACAUUUUAGCCCCUUUGAAGGAAAUGCAAGAAAGAUAAAACUUUUAUUCCAGUACUAUCUUUAUGUUAUCUUACUUAUAAAGUUUCCAACAACAAUAAAAAAUACAAUAAGGUUAACUUCUUAUAACAUGUGAAUUUCUUCACUUAAACUAUUUAUUUUAGUUGUUUUGAAACAAAGCAAAAUUUACACCUUGAAAAAUUCACAUAUAUGAAGAGAUUAUUUUAAUUUUUCAAUACAACUUAAACAACAUCAUGUAUUCAAAUGUAAUUUCUAAAAAAAUUUCUUGACUUUCAUAUAACUGUUUACGAAAGUUUUCAAGGUGUUAAUUACACCAAAAUCCUCCUAAGUGGUUGAUUUUAACUAGAUUUAGUUUAUCCACGUCCUUUGUAAUCUCACCAUGAUCUCGAUAUAGAGAAAUAUAGACCAUUAUCAGAUAACAAUUUUUUUUUUGUUCUAAUCUACAUUUUUUGGUUUAAAAAUUUUAUUUUCUUUUGAUUUUUUGGUUAAAUAGUUAUUAAGAGUAAGAGUAAUAUUGUGGAUUUGUGACAUCUGAUAAGAAUAUUUAGUCUUAUCAAAUUGACACGAGAGGCAAGUGAGAUUUUAGAAACCUCAGAGGAGUUGAGUGAUAUUAUGAGAAACCUCAGAGGAGGUUUCUGAAAUCAUCCCUAUUUUUCUACUAAAGUUGCUGCUACUACGAAAAUAAUACACUAGAGAGAUGUAUGCAUUAUUGGACUAUUUUUAUAUGGGGCAAAGAACGGUUUUAGGUUAGGUUUUUGUUUAUUUUCAAUUGUUUAAAUUGGAGCAGCUUACAAUGUAGGAAAAAUUAGAUUGUUGUAUCUAAGAAGCAACAUAUUGAGACCUAAUACAUAAAUAAUACUAUAUAAGGGCGUGAAUCGUUUUAAAAAUAGCGACCUAAUUCAUACCUCCUCUUAUCAUGUCAUAAUUACUUGAAUGAAACUAAUUAUUUUAUUUUUUAUGUUACAUCGAGGAAAGAUGAAUUUUGUUCAUCUUCUAUUUGAAUUUAAUGUUGGAAAGUAUUUAUAAUUACUUAAUUACAUUUGGCGUAGAACCAAUUGGUUAUGAGGAAAACUUCUUCUGCUACUAGAAUAGUUUUACCCUCAAUUUAACGAGUGCGAGAGUUUCAGGUGCUAUCCUCAUCCACCAAGCUUCACAAACAAACUGAAAACAUAGCAGAACACAAAUGCAUCCAUAAUGGUGAAGAAGUACUUGUAAAUAUCAAUGGUGCAAGACCAGAUGUAUAACCGCCUUUGUAUUUCAUCUAGGAUAAAAUGCACAGAAAGAUUCUUCAGCUCUAGGCUACGAUACUUGAUUAGGCAUUUCUCUGCUGUAAAAUCUUCCCACUACUCUGCAGUCCAGUAUUUCAAUGGCCUUUUCAGACUUUAAAUGAAGGAUACUUUAAACCAAAAAAAGUUGCUUUCAAUUGAUAACAAUUAACAAAAUAACACCAUCUCCUAGUGUCACCUUUAUCGCCCAAGAAUUAAAUAAAGAAAUAUAUGUGCUGCAAAAGGGCAUUCCAAGCGAAAGCAAAGUGGAGAAGGGUCAGAUGUAGAUGAUCUUUUCAAAAGAAAGAAAAAUGAAAACCAAAAUUAGUCGUGUUUGUUUAGAUAUUACAAAUCUAGAAAAUUAAUAAAAUAUUACACUGUGAAACUCCAAAAAUAUCAAAAAAUAAAACACUUAUUGCCCCAAUAUCAUCUAUGCAUGCUUCCAAUGCUUUUUUUCUCCCAGAUCUGCUAAUGAGUUGAUUUAAAUUCAGAUGUUAAAGUGAGAUCUAACGAGGUAGAUCUAAAAGAUUUCAGAUCCGACAACCAAAUAUGCAAAAACUUAGAUCUAAUGCAAAAAAUAGCAAAAAACUACAAAAGCUAUCAUUAGAAAUCUCUAGGAGAGGAGAAAACUGUCACUCAAAAUCCCUAAGAGAAUAAACUCUCACUAGGAAACUCCAUGAGAGGAGUGUAACAUCUUUUGCUACAAGAAUAGCAUUACCCUCAAUUUGAUGAGUACAAGAGUUUCAGAUACUAUCCUCAUCCACCAAGCUUCACAAACAAACUGAAAAAUAGUAGAAAACAAAUACGUCCAUACAAUGGUGAAGUACUUUUACAUUUCGACAUUGCAAGACAAGGUAUAUGACCUAGGAUGAAAUAUGCAAAAAGAUUCUUGAAGACCACAGGCUACGAGUCUUGAUUAGGCACUUCUGUGCUGUAAAAUUUUCCCACUACUCUGGAGUCCAGAAUUUCAAUGGCUUUCUCAGACUUUAUGUUCUUAGGUGUCUUGUACUGGUUUAAAGAAGUUCCUCGAGAAACAUAAAAGUCCAUGAGCACGUUGAAUGUUCCUUGUUUCACAACUCUAAUUUCCAAAGGACCGAUGGUACUGAUGCUCCGAUUCCUCAGCAUCUUAUAUUGCAGAUCCAAAGAUUGUUCCACUAAACUACAGCAUUUUUCCAUUUUAACCUGAUCAAGUACAGGAAAGUCAUCAUUGGAUCUCAGUUGGAGCUCCCAAAAGAGUACAUAGUGACCAGGAAUAGAGGAUGUAUCAGCAUAGCUACUGUAAUCCAAAAGAAAGAACCCAAGUGGUUCAAGGAUAUGCAUUGCAAUUGUAACUGCAUUCUGGAGGUCUUGUUCAGUUGUUUUAUCUGUGUCAAUGCUCAAAACCACAUUUCUCCUUUGUACAAAUUUGAAUUGGGGAGUGAUAUUGUGAAAUCCUGUCACCAGGAGAACAUCCCCCAUUCUGUACCUGUAUAAACCUGAAAAUACACGCCUCUAUCAAUAUUCUAGAUAUUAGAGCGAUUGAGCUUCUAAACUCCCUAAUCAUCGUUGUUUAUGUUUAUCAGGAUAAUAGAUGUACGAAAAAGCAGAAUGCAGUACCUAUAUCUGACAAAUUUGAACAUCAGAACAACUCUUGCACAUUACAUAUUGUUAAGCAGAAACAAAUGGAGAUACUUCCAUUUUAGAACAUGAUAAAUAGAUUCAGAUGGAAAUCAGAAGACACCUUCCGGUGAUAAGAUGCAAACAGUUCAAGAGGGAAUUUUGUGUCUGCAGAGUACUUCAUGGGACAGACUAACAGAAUUAUAGUUCACGUCUACAGUAUACCAUAUGCAAUUAGGUCAAUCAAAAGUAUAGAGAUCUUUUUUUAGAUCAAAAGUACAGUGAUCUUACCUGUACAGGUCGUGACAACAAGUUCGUAAUGUUGGCCAAUCUUAACAUUAGCAAGAUCCACAAUGUGAUCUUUCAAGUGAGCAUCCUUGCUAUUGGUGCAGUUUGGAUCUUGAUGAUUGCCAAUUGGUAUGAACUCAUAGUAAGCCAUGUUUGGUAUAAUAGUAUAUGAGACAUCAUAAGGACUGCAUAAUGGUUUCAAAUUUAUCCCAAAACAUGCCUCUGAAGAAACAUAGGCUGGUGAAACUACAGGUAACCUGCCUGUAUAGAAUUCAAGCGCGGGAAUGUACUGUGCCAUGGACCCAGUAAUUAUGGCCUGGACAUACUUGGUCCUUGGCCAGAUCUUCUUAAUUAUUCCUUCCCAAGAUUUUUCUUGGCAUACAAGAUCAAUUGAAUCAGCCAAAUCUGGCAUUUGUUUGCUCAAAAUCAAGGAGACAGUCCUUUUGCAUUUAGGGUCAGUGAUCCAAUCACUCAUUUG
RNAcentral lists this long non-coding RNA (85997 nucleotides) under Coffea arabica (coffee). Its description in RNAcentral is "long non-coding RNA (CARA_LNC007103)". The record is from RNAcentral. Lineage: Eukaryota; Viridiplantae; Streptophyta; Magnoliopsida; Gentianales; Rubiaceae.